Molecule: long non-coding RNA, 50296 nt
Filed under: Populus tremula
Lineage: Eukaryota; Viridiplantae; Streptophyta; Magnoliopsida; Malpighiales; Salicaceae
Description: long non-coding RNA (PTRE_LNC001626)
Rfam family: MIR478 microRNA precursor family (bases 20678-20770)
Source: RNAcentral
UCAAUAUCAAAACUCCCUUCAGGAGUAGCGAAAAUGAGAAGCAAUAUUCUACUUACCAUUAUCUUAGCCAUAGUUCUUGCAGGAGCCCUGCCCAAGAAUGUGGUAGAGGCUCAAAAUUGUGGCUGUGCUGCAAACCUUUGUUGCAGUCAAUAUGGCUACUGUGGCACUGGCAAUGCCUAUUGUGGUCAGGGAUGUAAACAAGGGCCCUGUUAUUCAUCGCCUACGCCUACUACCCCUAGUGGGAGUGGUUCUGUUGCUGAUAUUGUUACGCCUGCUUUCUUCAAUGGUAUAAUCAACCAAGCUGCUGCAAGCUGUGCUGGGAAGAAUUUCUAUACAAGAAAUGCAUUUCUCAGUGCUGUCAAUUCAUAUUCUCAAUUUGGUAAACUUGGUUCAGCUGAAGCUUCUAAGCGUGAGAUCGCAGCUUUCUUCGCUCAUGUUACUCAUGAGACUGGACGUAAGUUCCUCUUCCAUCCCUAAUAACAUUUCUCGCAGCAUUCGAAUAUGGAUUUUGUCAACAAAGUGAACUGUCUAAUAAGUGUGUUUCAGAUCCUCGUGUGUAAACUGACAAGAGAAAAUGUCAUAUUUUGCAGACUUCUGCUAUAUAGAAGAGAUAAAUGGUGCUUCCGGUAACUACUGUGAUGAAAACAACAGGGAAUACCCAUGUGUUGCAGGCAAGAAAUACUAUGGCCGCGGACCACUCCAACUAUCAUGGAACUACAACUAUGGGCCAGCCGGAAGGAGCAACAACUUUGAUGGAUUGAACAAUCCUGACAUUGUAGCAAGGGAUGCUGUUGUGUCAUUUAAGACAGCCUUAUGGUUUUGGAUGAACAGAGUUCGUCCUGUUGUAAGCCAAGGUUUUGGAGCAACUAUUCGAGCCAUUAAUAGUAUAGAAUGCAAUGGUGGAAACGCAGGUGCUGUUCAGGCUCGUGUUAGAUAUUAUAGAGAUUAUUGCAGUCAACUCGGCGUUUCUACUGAGAAUAACCUCACUUGCUAAGUUCUUAAAUAACCUGAGUUGUUAUGCCAAGUUAUGGCUAAUCAUAUGAAAAUAAGAUGUAUUGCUAUGAAAUAAAUUGAAGACAAAUAAAGUUUAUAAUUAUCGUUAUGUCUCUUAUAGUUUUUCAGUAAUUUUGAUGUCCCUUUUAUAUUUAUUUUUGUUACUUUGAAAAACCUCCACUUUACGUGGCCAAAAAUUUGUGUUGAAAUUCAAUUUACGCCUUGUACGUAUUUUAUUUUCCAUCAUUUGAGUCCAUUAUGACCAAAAGAUUGUCCAUCCAACCCAAUAUAUUAGCAAUUUGAAAUUGAAAUCACUAUAUGUGUGCAUAUUCAUUUAAUUUAUUCUUCCAUUUCCAUAAUACAUUUUUCAAAUUUAUGUUAAUAUCCAUAGUAGGAUCUACUCUAAUUAAUUACUUCUCGAGUAAAACAAAAAUUUCAUGAUUAUGACAUUUUUUCUUUUUAUGUUUUUUAAAAUGAAAGGUUGUAUUGCCUUGCCUAUUAUGUUUAUAAUACAUGUUCAGCUUACUUUUCAUCUUUCAAAUUUGGUUGAUGCAGAGUGUUUUUUUAAAUGAUUUUUAUUUAAAAAUAUAUUAAAAAUAUAUUUUAUUUUUCAUAUUAGUAUAUUCAAACAAUAAAAAAAAACUUUUUCAAAAACAAAUUAAAAUUUAAAAAAUACAGUUCAACCACACUUCUAAACAACACCGAAGUUAAAAAGAAACUAAGUUGUGGUUUUUUAGAUGUUAAGAGCCUAUUUGAGAACACGGUGUAAACCACAUUCUUUUAAAUUUUAAAAAAAAUUGCUAAAAUUUAUUUUUUUAUGUCUUGAGAUUGUUUUAAUGUGUUAAUGUUAAAAAUAAUUUUAAAAAAUUAAAAAAUAUAUAUUUUUUAAAAAACAACUUUAGACUGCAACAACUAUUGAAAUUUUAAACAGUCCAUAAGAAAUUGAAUUGAAUUGUACUAGGAUCUUUGCCAUGGAAUCACUAUUGGGAUUAUUUAGUGGUUCAAAAUCAUGUUGAGCUAGCCGACGUUGAAAAUCAUCAAUAUUAAUGGAGAGACUUUUCAAAGAAGUUGUCAAGUCCAUUUCUGACAUGAUAGCAAUUAUGGAUUGGGGUCCAUGUCCAUGUACCAACAUUGUAUAGAUCAUGAACCAAGUUUAAUGUCAAAGGAUCGAUUUGCCAGGAAAAAAAAAUUGAAAAAUGAAAAAUUAGGCAACUUGCUGUGAUUUCCUUUUGCUUCCAAGAUAUACGAUAUGGCCGCAGUGUGGUCAAAUAUCUUGGUAGUGUUGAUUAAUGGAGAGCUAAAGCCACAGCCCACCCAUUUCUUAUCCACCUAGCCAGAUGAGGAAGAAACGAUGGCUCCUAUUUUACUUAUUUUUCAGCUGCAAGAGCUGAGUUGUAGUAAGAUGGAAUGAGUUGACAUGACAUGUGUUGGAAUGAGCUGUAUCUAUCCCAACUCGUUGCAUGUUUUGGUUAUAAAAUCUUUUUAAAAGUAUUUCUAAGUUUUUUUUGUUAUAUAUUUUUUUUAGUGUUUUAAAAUUAUUUUGAUGUAUCGAUAUUAUAAAUAAAAUUUAAAAAAUAAAAAAUUAUUGUUUAAAUGUAUUUUUAAAUAAAAUAUAAUUUUAAAAACAAAAUUUAAAUUAGCAGUAAAAACACAAUAUAAAUGUGACAAAACACAGUGAGCUAAACACCAAGAGAAAGAGUGUUUAUCCAACCUAGUUAAAUCUUAGGCGUCGAUUCUGGGCAUCCAUUUUUAUCCUGACUGUUAGCUACAAAAACUAGAAAAAGAAAGGAGCACUAGAAGACGGCUUCAGUUUUAUCUUUUUUCUAUCCUUUCAUUUAUGGUACGUUGAAAGGUUGUCUUCUCUAUGUUAAAAAUAUAUAGGGAAUUGGCUAGUCAACGUCGGCUAUGCCCAUACUGUGCCAUUGGGCGCCACUAUCCUUUCAUUGAUGGUAAUUGACUAUUCAACGUUUUUCUUUUCACAUAGUUGUGGGGUGUCUACUCUUCGAAUGGGGUUCUUCUAGUCCUAGAUAGGAUACUACCUUUUCUUUCGUUAGGAGAUAGGAUUUGGCAGACUUUUCCCUUCAAAUGCUGAAAUAAAUGCUGAAAUGGAUAGAAAAUAAUAUAAAUUAUAUUCUAAAAUUUUAUUUAAUAAUUUAAAAUUUUAGAUUGAAAUGAUUUUUGAUAUAAUAUCAAUACUUUGAUAAUUAAAUGAUCACGAAUUCAAAUCUCACCAUCUGCACUUAUUUGAUAAAAAUUAAGCACAGGGUAAUGUAAACAUGUUUAAAUUUUAAGUCCAAAAGACUUUUACUUGAGAUGACGUGUUAGAGAAUAAUAUAAAUCAUAUUCUGGAACUUUAUUUAAUAAUUUAAACUUUCAAAUUAAAAUGAAAGCUAACAAUGGUAAGCUAACAAUUGAGUCUGUGUCUUUAUGUGGACAAGAUUUCUAUUUUCUUGCCUAACUACAAAGUUUACUUGAAAUGGUAGUGAUUGAUUAUCCUUUCCUAGUUGUUUGAAAAGUAAUACGCACGUGCCAGCAAUGGCCCUGCAGGUAAUGGCGCCACAAAUGGUUUGGGAAAUUAAACUCCUUGCCCUCUCUAGGGCCUAGAUUUGUCUCCGCUGAUAGUGUGCUAAAGAAUUUAAAAGAAUUGGUAUUAGUAUUGUGAGUUUGAAGAAAAUUAGAGAAAUGAAAAAAAAAUGAGGGCGGCUAAAUUAUGGCUCUGUAAUUGGCUCUUCCAUAGACUGUAGUGGUCAGCGCCUUUGGAUUGCAAACAUCUAUGCUUCUAGAAAUCUUGAACUUCCAGUUUGUUAAGAGUUUUUAUCUAGUCACCCACGAUGGUCUGUAAUGAACUGAACAACCUAGUCAUUGAGAAGCCUAUAACACUUUAUGCAAGUCUCCAAGUGAACAAAUUUGCAGAUUAUGCUUGUCUCCUAGCAUUGAAAAUUCCCACGUUCGUAAAGCUUUUGAGGAUACUAUGAAGCUCAUCCCAUAUGAUUCCCAUCUAUCGAGUGCUGUAACAGCACAAUUCAAAGUUAAAACUUCAUGUUGAUUCAAAACAAACUAAUGUUAAGAUAUCCAAAAGCCUUGAAAUGAUUUGAGAAUUUCAAGUGUUAGACAAAAAAUCCACCAUGAGUGAUUGGAUGUUCAAAUAUCUUAUGCACUGCGACAAGGUCGGAUGUUAGAAAUAUGGGUGAAGUCUCCCUCCAGUUUUUAUAAAACACUUUUAAAAAAAAAACAAAUCAUGAGGUUGCCUUCUUCACUCUCGCCUGUAAUAUGGGCUCUCAAAAUUGAAUGUGGAGCUGGAACCAUACGACUCAUUAUCUUCAAGAUCUUCUAAAUCCUUAUUUAUUAAGUAAUGGUCACUUUUGAAACUUCCCUUUACAAAUCUUUAUUCACUAAGUUAUGACAGUUUUGUUCUUGGGCAGAACCUCCUCAACCAUAAUUAAUUCCCCUCUGCCAUAACCAUGUUUUGCGUUGUGAUCUCUAGCCAUAGUAGUUCAGCAACAUUAAAAAAAAGAAGGAACAAUAGGAUAUGAUACCAACUUGCACAAUUUAAACUAAUUAGACUGGGAAUAAAAAAAAAACAUGGGAAGAUAGAAUUCACCAAAAGGGCCAAACAAGAACCCUAGCUACAUUGUUAUUUUCAGAAUAUAUUCCUCCACCAAAAUCUACCUCAUAAAAAUAUUUUCAAUAACUUAAAUAGGUCUAUCUUCUCGAUCAAAAUGGAAAAAAUAAUCUUACAUGGAUAGAAAAAUUAAAAGCUAAAAUUUGAAAUAAAUAAAAACUAAAACUAAAAAAAAAUAGCAAUUUAUAAAUCUAAUUUGAAAGUCUUGAUUACCUCAACGAGCCAAUAUUUCACUAUAGAAUAGAUCUGCAUAAUCUUUUAAUGAAAUUUAAAUGUGAUCUAAUAAUUAAAUAAAAUAUUAUGUUUAUUUUUAUCAGAAAUAUUAUUUGGAGUGACUAAAUCUUUUCUUGGGUUUGAACUUUUUAUUUAAUCCAUAAAUGUAUUUAUUAGGUAUUUUAUAUACUCUGAUUAUUAUUCUUGUACAUUAAUAUUAGGAAUAACCACAAUAAAUAUUGGUAUGGGAAAUUAAACUCCUUAGAAUUACCUUACCCAACUCUGAAGCCCUAGAUGUACAUGGCGUGGUAAAGGAUUUAAAAGAUAUGGUAUUAGUGUAUGGGAAAGAAAUUAAACUGAGAACUUGGCUCUGCCUCGGUGCUCAGUACCAUUCGAUCUCUAACAUCUAUGCAUGCUUCUAGAAAUUUUGAGCUCCUAGUCCGUUCAAAGUUUUUUUAGCAGCCUUCCUUGAUGAUCUAUAUGAACCGAACAAUCAAGUCAUUGAGAAGCCUACAACACUUAGCCUAGUCCCUAACUUUGUGGCGCAUUGAGUGGAAGAAAUUUUCAACGUUUGACUCUAAGUAGUCACUCAUUUACGCUGUUUAGAAUCCAAGUUAAAUUUCCAUGUUGAUAAAAAAAAAAAAAAAACACCAAAGUUAAGAUGGAAAAAUUCGUUGAAUCCGUACUUCAUGAAAUUUUAAUUAUUACAUAGGAAAAUACAUGUCCAAAGUUAAAAACACAUUAUAUUAUUCAAUGAACUGUAAUAUAAAUUGAUAUUUGAAAUAUAAGGUUGUGUUGCACUCAUGAAAUGAAAUGAUAGAAAGAUCUGAUUUAGUGUUAGGUUUUAAGCCAAUAAAAUUAGUUUGAAAGGAUAAUAUUAAUUGUUUUUUAAAAUGAUUUUUUGUUUGAAAAUAUAUUAAAAAUAUAUAUUAUUUUUAUAUCAGGAUAUCAAAAUAAUAUAAAAAUAACAAGAAAAAAUUAAUUUAAAAUAAAAAAAAUUUAAUUUUUUUUUAAAUUCUUUUAAAACCUAAACAAUUUUCUCAGUCUUGUCUUCUAACAUAAAAAAAAUUAUAUAUAUAUAUAUAUAUAUAUAUAUAUAUAUAUAUAUAUAUAUAUAUAUUAUGAAGCCAACAGUAUCAAUCACAUAAUCCAUUAUCUGUCAGAGUCUCGGUACUUGAGGGAUUUGAUCCCAAAUGACACAAGCCUGGUGACUUUACUAAUCAGCUCUUUACUAGGUUUCUUGCGGGUUUUUUUUUAUCAGUAAUCCUUCUCCAAUUUGUCGUCUCAAACUGGUUUUUAAUAUCUAUUUGAUGAUCAAAGAAAAGAAAAGGCCUAAUCAUCUAACAAGUAGUUUUAAUUCUAUUUUUGUAUAUUUUCACUUAAAAUAUAUUAGAGAAUAAUAUAAAUUAUAUAUUGAAACUUUACUUAACAAUUUAAGUUAUUAAAUUGAGAUGAUUUUUUAACAUGGUAUCAAAGUAUUGAUGACCAAGUGAUCACGAGUUUAAAUCUCACUAUCCCUAUUUAUUUGAUAAAAAAUAAACACAUGAUAAUAUGGUAUUGUGGAAGUUUAAAGCCCAAAGAGCUUUCAAUUAAGAGAGUGUGUUAGAGAAUAAUAUAAAUUAUAUCCUGAGAUUUUACCUAACAGUUUAAGCUUAUGGGUUAAGAUGAUUUUUUGAUAGAGUGAAAAUGUGAGCAUAGUAAUAAAUAUCUUCCAAGUUUCAGCGGGUCAACUCAACAACCUACCAAUUAAAUAUUUUAUUUUAUUUUAAAUUGGUUUUUUUAUGAAAAUAAUAUAAAAUAUUUUUAAGAAAAUCAUAUAUCUAGUUUGUAGUUUAUAACUAAGAACGUGAGAUGUCUCUCUUGCCAUCAAGGCAUUUAGAAUUUUCAUAUCUAUCGCUAUAAGGUGCUUUGUAGUUUCAUAAAACUUUGCUUAGUGAACCUCCUUUUGUCGUUAUAAGUCAUCUAAGCAGACCCGUAUUCUACACGCACAAAUAUGUAUAAAAAUCUACAUGCUAUCCUGCUAUAUAUAUGGCCCAAACCAAACCUUAUUUUUCCAUCCAGAUUUUUUACCCUUAAUUAAAUAAAAAAACACCUUGCUUACCUUAUGUUUUUUCUUAACAUGGGAAACAAUGUACUAUCCAUCAUUCUGGCUAUGAUGCUGGCUGUAACCAUGCCGCAGUUGAUAGUGUCUCAAAAUUGUGGUUGUGCUCCCAACUUGUGCUGUAGUCAGUUUGGCUUCUGCGGCACCGGUGAUGCUUAUUGUGGCCAAGGAUGCCGGGAGGGACCUUGUACCUCAGCACCUAGUACCCCUAGCACGCCUAGUAACAAUGAUGUUACGGUGGCUGGUGUUGUUACACCGGAAUUCUUCAACGGUAUAAUCAAUCAAGCCGGGGGAGAUUGUGCCGGGAAGAGCUUCUACACACGAGAUGCGUUUCUCAGUGCCCUCAAUUCUUAUUCUCAGUUUGGCAAGAUUGGAUCAAAUGACGAUUCCAAACGUGAGAUUGCAGCAUUUUUUGCUCACGUCACGCAUGAGACCGGACGUAAGAUCUCUUAAAUCUCAUCUAUAUAUAUAUAUAUGUAUAUUGUCACACAUCACACCUUCAGUAAACAACAUAAUAAUAAUAAUAAUAAUAAUCAUAUGGCAGUUAAAAACUUUAUUAACAUGCAUACAAACUUGGAAAUGCUAUAGUUGUUUGAGAAUGAUCGUUAUGAUAUGAACACAAGCAUAACCAUACAUCUCAAAGUUAACAAAUGGAUGUGUUUUGCUUGGUUUACAGACUUCUGCUACAUAGAAGAAAUAAACGGUGCCUCUCAGGACUACUGUGAUGAGACCAAUACACAGUAUCCAUGCAACCCGAACAAGAAAUACUUUGGCCGUGGACCUCUUCAACUAACAUGGAAUUACAAUUACGGGGCGGCUGGAGGGGCAAACAACUUUGAUGGACUAAACUCUCCUGAAACUGUGGCCAAUGAUCCUGUUGUGUCGUUCAAGACUGCCUUAUGGUUUUGGAUGACUAAUGUCCGCCCUGUGGUCACUCAAGGGUUUGGUGCAACGAUUAGAGCCAUUAAUGGUGCAGUUGAAUGUAAUGGUGGAAAUUCUGGUGCUGUUCAAGCUCGAAUUGGGUAUUACACAGAUUAUUGUAACCAGUUUGGCGUUGCACCUGGCGACAAUCUAAGCUGUUAGGUUACAUUAUGCAUAUUAUAGUAUAGCAAAGAAAUGAAAUGGAAUCUACCUUCUGCCAUUUCUCGAAUGUAAGGUGGGAUACCCAGUGGUGUUCUGUAACUCUCGAUCGAGUUCGAUGUAUUUCUUGGAAUGGAUUUUACCAAUAAAUAAAUGAAAUAAAGGCAUCACAUAAUUGAUUUUGCUUAUCAUGUAUUUGCUGGCUUAAUUCGUUGUUAUGUUCAUUGCAAUUGCAAGUUUCUUGUUUAGUUUUUUUUUUUUAUUUAUAAUCUUUAAUCUUUAAUCACUAAUGAAAGUUUUGCUCUUGGGCAGAACCUCCUCAACCAUAAUUAAUUCCCCUCUGCCAUAAUCAUGUUUUGCGUUGUGAUCUCUAGCCAUAGUUGUUCAGCAACAUAUAUAUAUAUAUAAAAAAAAAAAAAACAAGGAACAAUAGGAUAUGACACCAACUAGCACAAUUUAAACUAAUUAGACUGGGAAUAAAAAAACAGGGGAAGAUAGAAUUCACCAAAAGGGCCAAACAAAGAACCCUAGCUGCAUUGUUAUUUUCAGAAUAAUAUUCUUCCACCAAAAUCUACAUCAUAAAAAUAUUUGCAAUAAUUUAAAUAACCUCAAUCAAAAUGGAAAAAAUAAUCCUACAUAGACAGAAAAAUUAAAAGCUAAAAUUUGAAAUAAAUAAAAACUAAAACUAAAAAAUUAACAUUUUUAAAAUUUAAUUUGAAAAUCUUUCUAACCUCAACUUAUUACAACGAGACAAUAUUCCACUAUAGAAUAUGCCUGCAGAAUCUUUUAAUGAAAUUUAAACAUGAUUCAAUAAUUAAAUAAAAAAUUAUGUUUAUUUUCAUUAAACAUAUUGUUUAGAGGAACUAAACUUUUUCUUGAGUUUGGAUUUUUUAUGCGAUCCAUAAAUAUAUAUCUGCUAGGUUUUUCAUAUACUCUAGUUACAACAAAUUUAUAUUUGAUUAUGAUUAUUAUUCUUGUAGAUUAAUAUUAGCAAUAACGAACAAUAUUUGUAUGGGAAAUUAAAUUCCUUAUAACUAACUUACCCAACUCUCAAGCCCUAGAUGUACAUGGUGUGGUAAAGGAUUUAAAAGAUAUGGUAUUAGUGUAUGGGAAAGAAAUUAAAAUAAAUUAAGAACUUGGCUCUGCCUCGGUGCUCAGUACCAUUUGAUUUCUAACAUCUAUGCUUCUAGAAAUUUUGAACUCAUAGUUUGUCCAAAGUUUUUUUUAGCAGCCUUCCUUGAUGAUCUAUAUGAAACGAACAAUGAAGUCAUUGAGAAGCCUACAACACUUAUGGCGCGUUGAGUGGAAGAAAUUAUCAAAGCCUACAACACUAAUGAAAUUUUAAUUAUUACAUAGGAAAACCCAAAGUUUACAACACGUUAUUCAAUGAACUGUAAUAUAAAUGGAUAUUUGCAAACAACAUUCUCUCUAUUAUUUUCUAACAUACCAAAGAAAAUUUACGAAGCCAACAUUAUCGAUCGCAUAAUCCAUUAUCUGUCGGAGUCUCGGUACUAGAGGGAUUUGAUUCCAAAUCACACAAGCCUAGUAACUUUACUAAUCAGCUCUCUUUUUAGGUUUCUUUCGAGUUUUUUAUUAGUAAUUCUUCUCCAAUUUGUCGUCUCAAGCUGGUUUUUACUGUCUAUUUGCUGAUCAAGUCAAAGAAAAGAACAUGCAAUUCCCCCUAUUUAUAGGUUAUGGAAGAAGGUAAUAUUUUCUUCACUUUGAGAAAAUUUUCAAUCCUUAAUUCGGAUGGAAAUGAUCACAACCGUUGACUUAAAAUAGGCAGCAUGAACUGUAUAAAUUUGACAGUUAGUGGCUGCUUGAGCUGGCCUCUUUAGGUUGGCACCGCGACCUCUAUGGUGUUAAUCAACCUAAACAGACCAUACCAGGGUGUAAAAGGAUGUCAGGUGAUCAUUUACAUGCAAGUUUUAGUGAAGGUUAGAUGCAUUAAAUGCACCUAUGAAGUUGUUUUUCUAAGCUAUCAUUUCAGUGAAAAUUAAAGAAGAAGAUGAACAAUAACCAAAACAGCGCCAUUUUGGUAACAUUCACUUUAGCCAUUUGAUUUCUAAUUUGUCUCAAUUACACCCUUGAUUGACUUCAAAUUUUUAAUUUUAUGUAAUCUCAUCCCUAGAAAAACCUCAAUGUCAGCCUCGGAUAUCGCAAUGACCGAUUAAAAAUAAUCUAAGAAAAGAAAAGAUAUCAAACAUCUUAAUCUGUGGGGAAAAGGUCUAGUUUAAGGAGUUACCACCUAGUAUUACAGUCAGACCAACCCUAACUGAUCAACAGAGAUUAUAUUGUACGGGACUGGUUACGCGAAAUGAGAGAUAUUAUCACCCCUUAAACGCCUUACUUAAAGCAAACUACAUUGUUGGUUUUGUUUUAAAUUGCUAAGAUUUCGUCUUUGUUCCAUUUUUAAGGUCAUCCUAUAAUAUUCUCAACUCUGACGUAAAUAGUUAUUCCCCUAUAAAUAUUUUCAAUUCUAGCGUUGGUAAAUAUUGUGCAAUCCAUAAAGUACGGUAAUCCUAACUAUGACGUUAGGGAAUGAGUCUGCAAAUUUUAAAUUUUAAAAAAGAAAGAAACAAUUUUUUUAUUUUUUUCUGGCCGGAUCUAGGUUAGCUAUACAGGUCGGGCUUGAUCCAGCUAGCAUGAGCUUGGUCACUGAAAUGCAACAAGCAUACGUCAAUUAUAAUUCACGUAUGCGUGUAUAGCAAGAAUGUAAUUAAAAUGACAAUGGUUAAGGGCCAAGAAUAAAAUUAAAAAUAAAAGAAUAAGAAUUAAAUUUGAAGUAUCAAUAACUAAAAUGACAACAUUGAAAUUCUAAAUGGCUGGUGCGAUUUUCGAGAGAAGAAGAGAGAGAAAAGAGAAAGAAAAAAAAAAACUCACCAACAACAAUUCAUCAUACCACCAUCACCACAUGCCACACCACAAAAAAUAAUAAGAUGUAAAGAUUUCAACAACAUAACGGAAGAGCUUUUUAACCACUGUGACGCAUUGUGCGUGCUAACAGAGGUUAUGGGCGCCUCCCACACGUUGGAGUAUGAAUUGUGUAUAUCAUCAACUUUUCUAUUUUAAUAUUAUUUAAUUUUUAUUAAAAUAUUAAAUUACCAUCAACCAAUUUGAUGAUAACAGAUAAAAAAAAAAACAUAGUAAAAAAACAUAAAAGCUUCUAUAUGCAAGCUUUAGAAAUUUUGCAAGUCUUUUUAUUGCUCUUAAAAUAGUGAAUUGAUGUGAAAGCCCUUAAAAGUUAGUUUCAAUAAUUUUGCUUUGAAGGGUAAAAAAAAUUAAAAAAGACAAGCGGUCAAUAUUAUAAUUAAUAAUAAAUCAUGUACGAAAAGAAAAAAAAAAUCCCCAAUGUAAAAGCCAUUGGUUUUUUUAAGAAGGGUAAAUAGAUAAUUAUACUAUAGCAUAGUAAAUUAUUUAUAUGACAUAGUAUCUUCACCUUUUGUUUUAGCUUUAUCUUGUUUUCUGUUAUAUUGCUAGACAUCUUUUAACCGCAGCUAAUAGUAUUCACAGCAACAAAUAUAACUAAAAGCAACCAAGUAAUCACUACAUAGAUCCUUAAUGUGUUAUUAAAUAUUAUAAGAGAUUUAAAUAAAAAAAAUAUAUAAAACGGUUCAUACACAAAAUUUAUAUGGUUUAAGAGCCACACUUUCUAAAAAAAUUAAUUUUUUUUCUUCAAAUUAAAUAAUACUAUUUGAGAGUAAUUGAGUUUAUCUACUGAAUUUAUCAUGCAAUCUGUUUGCAACGCGAAGCCCCAUGUAUCUCAAGCCCGUCAUAUUAUAUUCCAAAUGAAGGCCCAAAAACGAUGGGCCAUUAUGACGACAGCUGUUCAGCACUUUAUUUAGGCCCCCGUCUUUCAAAUGAAAUGCAAUUACAAUUUCAGGAUGUCUUAGCAACAAUUCCACGACGUCGCAUCCAAUGGUUCUCAGACGCAUGAAGCACAAGGCUAAGCUUCUGUCUUCAAGUGGAAGUCUACACAGCAUAUUGAAGAUGAAUGUGAGGUGGAAUCCCAAGGCUCACUGGACUCUGGAAUCAGACAAGGGAAUCUUCGUUGUUUAACAUCUUCAAAUUCUGUUGUUGAGGCAGAGGUGCACGGAACGUUGAAAACUGGGCAGGCAUUGGGUUUUGGAAUGUUGAGGACUUGCAGGUGCUGGCAACAUCCAUUAGAGGCCAUGUGGACAGAAAGAUGGAAGAUUGGAAUGACGACCAAUAAUGCCAUUUUGCAGCUCGACAGUGGAUGUGUAUUACCUUCUUUCUUAAUGAAGAUCUUAUUCUGGAAUAGUUGUGGAUUGGGUAUGUCUGCUAAGGGGGUAUCGAUUAGGAAUACUAUUCUGCAUAAUGACAUUGAGGUGUGUUUCCUGCUAGGAACUAAGAGGGCAAUGUGCUGUGACAAAUUUGUUCAUGCAUUAUAGAAUAACUUAUCAGUCAAAUGGUUUAAUUAGGCUGGAGGUAUUUUAGCUACGUGGGAUGAAAGGAAGUUCAUGGUUCAUUUAGCCAAUAUCAAACUAGAAUGUGAUGGUGAAGAUAUAAGGAUGUGUUUUGCCAAACACACACUUAUCAAAUAUGGACUAGGCAAGCUGGAUUUGAAGACCAGACUUGGCCGACACUUUUUUUCUUUUUUAUUGGACAAGAUCUAGCCCAGCCACGCACCCUGGGCUAAACCUAGUCAGUCAACCUGGUUAAUGGCUUAAGCCAGUGACCUAGCUGCAGGAAGGAGCAGGCUUACCUGCUUUGUGCAAUAUUUAAUUUUUUGCAAGCAUAAUAACAACAAGAAAAAUGACUUUGAAAAUUUCUUCUUCAAAUUCAAUUUUUUACCUCGUUUAUAAUCCAAGUGUAUUAAAAUGAGAGCUGGGGAAGAAAAAAGACUUACCUAGCUUGCAAAGACAUUGCACGAGAUUGUAAGUGCUAGGUGAAUUUGUAGUGUCAGAGGAAGAAGAAGAAGAAUUGUGCAUGGUUGAAACAGUGUCGUUUUGAACUGGGAAUAAACAAAUUUAAUUAUUUUAUAGUUUUGUAAAAAAAUUUUUUAAAAAUAUUUUUAAAUAAGCGCCGAUGAAAUUACAUACGGUAUUUUUUUGAGAAAAAUAUCGACGAAAUGAAGCGGGUAAUUUUUUUUGCGCUUUUUUCGUUAGUAAAUCCAUCGGUAAUAAUAUUUUUUAUUACCAACGGAUAAAAAAUUACAGAUAAAAAAUUCACCAAUAGAACAUUUUCAUCUGUGAUUCCAUCGAUAAAUUAAUUACUAAUAGAAUAAUAGUACAAACGCCGAUAAAAAAUUACAUCGGUAAAUAUAAAGAUUAUGAUAGUGUAUUAAAGGUUCACCAAGCACGGAGUUUAGAGUAGAACGUGACUAUGUCAAGCCAAGAAUCACUAUCGCCUUUUCUUUUUGACAUAGAUAUGAAGGGGUUAUCUCUUCUAUUUAUAAGAGCUUCCACUUCUGGAUUAUUUAAUUAAAGGAAUCCAUUAUGGAAAUGGGAUGCAUAUUGUUGAAUAAACUCAAUCCAGAAGCUCCCAGAUGGUCAAGGAAGGCAACCACCAGCUGCCACCGACCAGCCACCAACCAACCAGCCACCAGCCGCCAGCCACCAGCUGCCACAGCAGCCAGCCGCCUUCACACUUGAAGGUUGAAUUUUCUUGUUUUGAUUUCGUGUAUAAAUAGAGUGCCCAACCUCUGUUAAAUUGUGUGGAGAGAAUUGAGAGGAACACUAGAAAGAGAAAGAGAGAGAGAGGGCGUGUAAUUGUUAAGCUUUUGUUGUGUAAUUGUAAGCUUCGGUUUUUUGUAAUAAAACAGUGUGUUUUAUCCCCUCUGAGUGUUUCAAAGCCACCACCAGUGGUUCCUCCCACCAACAAUUGGUAUCAGAGCUCCGUUCGUCGGAAAACAGAAGAGUUUUGCGGUAUAUCCGAAUUUUCAAAAUUGUCAAAAACAAGUUUUGAUCAUUCCACAGUGUAGAGCUCAUCAAGACGAACUCACUGCCGCAAAAUCAGCCUCAUCGGAGUCGAGGUAGCCCACACGCGCCUGAAUAUCUGCCAGAUCGCCCACGCGCCCCGAGGUUGAAGACGACUGAGCCAACGCGCGCCAUUUUGAGCCGCGCCGCGCCGUUACGCCGAGUCCUAGCCAAGCCGCAAGCCGAGUCCAGCCGAGCCGAGCCGUCCAGCCCGAAAGAAUAUUCCCUGGAAUAUUCCCGAAUAUUCCCCAGAAUAUUCCCGGUUCAACCCAGCGAACCGCCCGCCAUACAGAAUUGGUUUUUUGACCGGUUCACCCAUUUUCUGACCUGAUUUCAACAAAGUCAGACCGGUUCCCAACUAUUUGGACUAUUCCAGAUCGAUAUACAGUGUCCGUUUGGUCAAAUUCGGCUCCCAGAAAGGUGAUAUAGUCAUUCAAAGAGCAAAAUGACUACAGAAGGUACACAUACACUCAUUCCAAAGCUGACCAAAGACAACUAUGAUAGUUGGUGCAUCAGAUUGAAGGCAUUUCUUGGGUCACAAGAGUGUUUGGAUAUUGUACAAACUAGUUAUGAUGAACCAGAGUCCAAAAAAAGAGAAGAUGCUUUACAAGAGGCACAGAAGCAAGCCCUCAAAGUCAACAGAAAGAAAGACAACAAGGCAAAGACCAUCAUCUAACAAGGUCUUGAUGAAGAUACAUUCGAGAUAAUAGCUUCCGCUGAAACAUCACAUGAUAUAUGGGAGGCUCUCCAACAGAAAUACAAAGGUGCUGACAGAAUCAAGAAGAUUCGUCUUCAAUCUUUGAGAGGAGAAUUGAUUAUUGCAAAUGAAGUCCUCAGAGUCUAUUUCUGAUUAUCACACAAGGAUUAUGGUGAUAGUCAACCAGAUGAGAAGAAAUGGAGAAGCCCUCAUCGAUUCUCGAAUUAUGAAAAAAAUUUUGAGAUCCCUAGAUCCAAAAUUCAAUUUUGUUGUUGUCGCAAUUGAAGAGUCCAAGGAAGUGGACAAGUUGACGGUUGAUGAGCUUAUGAGUUCGUUGCAAGCUCAUGAGCAGAAGAUAGUAAAGCGAAAUGAAGAUAAGGCCAUCGAGCAUGCCUUACAAGCAAAGCUGUCUCUCAAAGACAGAUAUGAGCAAGGGGAGACUUCAUCAAGUGGCUACACCACUCAAGGAGGAAGUCAACAAUCCAGAGGAAGAUUCCAGAGAUUCCAAGGAAGAGGUUCUUGGAAUACAAUCUUUAGAGGAAGAGGUGGCAGAAACACCACCAGAGGAGGCUGAGGCCAACAAGCAUUCACUCCUAGAGGAAGAGGAGGCGGUUACAAUAACCGUGACAAGAGAAAUAUCAAAUGUUAUAGUUGCAAUCAAUUUGGGCACUAUAGCACUGAAUGCCGAUGGAAAGCUCCGUUGGAGAUACGUGAGCAUGCCAACUAUGCAGAGAAGGAUGACAGAGAAGCAUCUGCAUUUCUUGUCCAACAAGAACUUGGCGAGAAACAGGAAAAUAUAUGGUAUCUAGAUACUGGAGCCAGCAAUCACAUGUGCGGCUACCGAGAGUUAUUUGGUGAUCUAGAUGAGACCAAGCAAGGUCUAGUUACUUUUGGAGAUACCACAAAGGUUCCAUUCAAAGGUAAAGGCAGCAUCCCAGUCAAGUUGAAGAAUGGCGAUUCCAGCUACAUCGCCGAUGUGUAUUAUGUCCCAGCCAUAAAGCAGAACCUGAUCAGCUUAGGUCAACUUUUGGAGAGAGGAUAUAGUUUUUACUCGAAGAAUUGUCAUCUGACAAUUAGAGACAACAAUGGGAGAUUAAUGGCCUACGUGAAAAUGUCCAAGAAUAGGAUGUUUCCUUUGAACAUCCAGUAUGAUGCAACAAGGUGUUUGAGUGCCAUCACCAACAGUGAAGAAUGGCUUUGGCACCUGAGGCUUGGACAUCUGAAUUUCACGAGUUGAAGAUGCUAGCAAGCAAGAAGAUGGUCAAAGGUUUGCCUCACAUUGAUCAUCCAGAUGAAGUCUGUGAAAGUUGUGUCCUCAGCAAACAUCACAGAUCCAGUUUUGCCAAAGAAGUCAACUGGAGAGCAAAGAGGCCACUGGAGUUAGUACACACAGAUGUGUGUGGCCUAAUUACGCCUAUGUCGACUGGACAAAAUAGGUACUUCCUCACUUUUACUGAUGAUUUUAGUAGAAAGACGUGGAUAUACUUUCUGAAGAGGAAGUCAGAAGUAUUCAAUUGUUUUAAAGAUUUUAAAGCAAUUGUGGAGAAGCAAACUGGUUACACGAUCAGAACCGUAAGAUCUGAUCAAGGUGGAGAAUAUACAGCAAAUGACUUUGAAGCCUAUUGUACACAACAAGGCAUCAGACAUCAACGACACCAGCUUAUACACCACAGCUGAAUGGUGUAGCAGAAAGGAAGAAUCGCACGAUUCUUGACAUGGCAGAAGUCUGCUCAAAGCAAAGAAGUUGCCCAAGCAAUACUGGGCUGAAGCUGUAUCAUGUGCAGUGUAUCUGUUGAAUCGCUGCCCAACCAGAAGUUUGCAAGGAGUCACUCCAGAAGAAGCAUGGAGUGGUCACAAACCAAGUGUUACUCAUCUACGAGUCUUUGGUUGUGUGGCAUAUGCAAAGAUCCCAGAUGCAAGAAGGAGAAAGCUCGAUGAUAAGAGCGAGAAAUGCAUCUUUGUCGGAUAUGGUGAAAGAAGGAUGGGAUACAGGCUGUAUAAUCCCAUCACGAAGAAGGUGAUUACGAGUAGAGAUGUUAUCUUUGAAGAAGAUAAAUCUUGGGCAUGGAAUGAUGAUCAAGAAGCAGUCAGAUGGAUCAACACUGAUUUGAUCCUUGAAGGUGAAGAAGUACCAACAGUACUUGUAGAAGAACCGAUUGUGCCAGCAGCUGAACCACAAAGUCCAGUAUUUAUACCAGCAGCUAAACCACAAAGUCCGGUACACAGAUUCCCUGUAUUCAACAGGAGGAACACACCAGGAGCAUCAUCAUCAACACCACCAUCAGCAUCCUCAUCAGAAAGACCAAGAAGGAUACGGAAUCUUGAAGAGUUGUACGAUACCACUCAGGUCAUGAAAGAUACAACUCUGUUUUGUUUUCAUGCAGAUAGUGACCCAUUAAGCUUCAAUAAAGCUGUCACAGAAAAGAAAUGGAUUAAAGCAAUGGAUGAAGAAAUACAUGCCAUUGAGAAGAAAGAUACCUGGAAGCUGACUUAUCCACCAGAAAAGAAGAAAGCAAUAGGUGUCAAAUGGGUCUACAAGACGAAAGCCAAAUUAGUGGAUAAAGCCUAUAAGCAGAGAGAAGGCAUUGAAAGGAGAAGUGUUCAUGCUUGUCAUGACAUCCCUCGAUUGAGUUUAAAGGGGAGAUUUGUUGAAUAAACUCAAUCCAGAAGCUCCCAGAUGGUCAAGGAAGGCAACCACCAGCUGCCACCGACCAGCCACCAACCGACCAACCACCAACCGCAGCCACCAGCUGCCACAGCCGCCAGCCGCCUUCACACUUGAAGGUUGAAUUUUCUUGUUUUGAUUUCAUGUAUAAAUAGAGUGCCCAGCCUCUGUUAAAUUGUGUGGAGAGAAUUGAGAGGAACACUAGAAAGAGAAAGAGAGAGAGAGGGCGUGUAAUUGUUAAGCUUUUGUUGUGUAAUUGUAAGCUUCGGUUUUUUGUAAUAAAACAGUGUGUUUUAUCCCCUCUGAGUAUUUCAAAGCCACCACCAGUGGUUCCUCCCACCAACACAUAUGAGUUAUUUGCAGAUGAUAAUUUUAGUGUUAUUCCUAAUCAUUUUUUUUGAUAAUUAAUGCUAAACGAUUUUGAGGUGGUUUGAAUUGAGAUCUAAAGGUUAAUUUUUUUUAAAUAUUCACUAGUUGACAUCAACCUAGAUGAUGAAUUUACAGUAGGAAUAACAAAUGUGAUAAAUAGUGUCGCACCCAAAAACUUUCAACGCGCGGCAUCGGCUGGCGAUUUAAAUCUCGUUUAUUGCGUUUGCUUGAAUUUGGUUCGUUGGAGUCGCCACCUAGUAAUUGAUUUCGGGCUACUAGGAAACCGGAUGUACUGGUCUUGUCAGAGAUUCGCGGGUAAGGGACUGGUUGUGGUUAGGGAAGGUAUUAGCACCUCUAACGCACCUACCUGAGGUAAGCUGCUUCGUGGCUUUGACGUGUUAAAGAAGUUUUAAUAAUUGUCUUUUUUCUUCGGAUUAGAAAUAUCACUUACGUAUAAGUUAAUAAUUCUUAACCGUGAUCCGAUCAAAUAUAAAUUCUUCUUUAAUAUAUUUGCAAUUUUAUCAUUAAAAAUAUGUACAAAUAAAUAAAACAAAAUACAAGCACACACAUACACUUUUAUUUUAUUUUUGUUUCUUUUCUUUUCGUUUUCUUUUCUUUUCUUUUACAUCCAUAUUUACAAAAUACAAAUUACAAAACAAAAAAAAAAUCAAAACUAAACAAAUUACAUUAAAAACACAUUAAAAUUACAAAACAAUCCCUAAAAUUCAGGAAAAACAACUCUGGGAAACAACUCAAGCCCGAAUGAACAGUAGCGGCGCGUCUUCCCACGCGCCGCCACUGGAAAACAUGGCAAACCAGGGGUGUAUGGAGCGCCUUCCUCCCCCGUUCAUUUUUCUGCCGGCGGUGAGGAUCCGGUCACCUGCAAACACAAGAGAAAUACACAAAGAGCAGUCGGUUUUAGUUUUUUAGAUCUGUUUUUAAUUUUCUUCUGCCCGUUUCGGAUCUGCUCAAUUCGUUCUCUUUCUGGUGGUUAUUCCUUCGUUCUUCAGAUGGCGGAGUGCUGGGUGGCUCGCCGGCGCGUGCUGCGGCUGAAGAGGGGAUCGUGGAUCUACCACCGGUUUGAAGGAGAUGAUGAGAGUGUUGGCCCGCGCGGGAUCUGUUCGGCCAUCGCUGCUGUUGCUACCCAAUUUUUGACCCAUGUUUUUUUAUAUAUUUUCAAAAAAUCCAAAAAAAACAUUAAGAAAAAUUUGAAAAUUUAAAAAUAUUUUUUUCUCUCUCGAGUCAACCGCAUCUCUUCACUCAAACCAUGUCGACCAGGGUAAAAAAUGAGUUUCGGGCUGUUUCGGGUGAAAAACAUCAUUUUCAACCAAAAUCGGGUUCACCGGGUCAAUACGGGUCAUACCAUGUUGACCAGGGUAAAAAAUGAGUUUCGGGUCAAAAAUAUCAUUUUCGACCAAAACCGAGUUCACCGGGUCAAUACGGGUCAUACCAUGUCGACCAGGGUAAAAAAUGAGUUUCGGGUUGUCUUGGGUCAAAACCGUCAUUUUCGACCAAAACCCGGUUCAUCGGGUCGAUACCCAUCAAAUGUUUUUUUUGGUAUUUCAUUUUUUGGCGGUUGAAACGAGAUUUUUCUAAUACUGAUUUGAAUUUUUAGUUUUACCCAUGUAAAUAUUUAUUAUUAUAUAUAAUAAAACAAAAUUAUGGUAGUUGUGUGCAAUAUUUAUUAUUAUAUAUAAUAAAACAAAAUUAUGGUAGUUGUGUGCAAUAUUUAUUAUUAUAUAUAAUAAAACAAAAUUAUGGUAGUUGUGUGCAUUAUUUCUUAUUAUAUAUAAUAAAAUAGAAUUUAAUGGUUGUUGUCCCGUGGCUAUAAAUAGCCACGAGAGGGGGGCAGAAUAAAAGAGAGAAAAAAAAGAGAGGAAGAGAAAAGAAAAAGAAAAGAAAGAAUCGAUUGAUACUAUUCCUAAUUUUUUUAGUUUUUCUUCAGGAGAGUAGGAUAUUGUCUUUUAAAAAAAACAAUUUAAAAAAUACCAAACAUAUCCCAACACAUCUCAGCCGUUAAUAUAUUCCAGGAUUUAAUCCUGUUGCGCCACGUCAUCCGGUGCACCGAGCUUUCGGUGCACCGCGCCACACAAAAUCAAAAACCAGACAAUCUGGGCCGUCCGAUCAACCUGCUGAUCUAGCCAAUCCCAGCCAUCCGAUCGUUUCAUCCAAGAUCCAACGGUUAACAUCCUUCAGCGGCACCGGUACACCAUACACGCGUCCGCACCGUAGCAAAUCUCGGAGCAUCUCUCUCCUCUCGCCGGCGACUCUCUCUCUCUCCUCAGAUCUCCACUUUCCGGCCAUAUAAAGUCUCCGAACCACCACAGAAAGGUUCCUCACAUGCCGUAAAGUAAAACCCCGGUGGUUUUCAUCGUUUUCACCGCCUCAUCUGGCCGGAAAAAGGCCGCGAUCGUCGCCGGCCACCGAAGCUUCAAGUCGUCGAUUCUCCCUCGUCAGCCAUCAACGGCCGUCGAGACCACCACCAACAGAAUCCUUGACCUCAGAUCUACCAGAACCGACCAUCGGUGGGCCAGAAAUCUCGCCGGAAAAUUUCGCCAUCGUCAACAGUGACAGCGCGUGAGACACACGCGCCGCCAGUGGCAUUUUCGUAAUUUUUCAAGAAAUCCGAGGGUAUUUCAGUCUUUUACCUAUACUGUGUCACUCAUGUAAUUUUUUUUUUGAUUGCUAAUUUUUUUUUAUUUUGUAUAUAAAUUUUCUUGCAUGUUGUAAAACAAAAAAUAAACACAAAAAAAGAAUAACAACGCGGGUCCAACACCCAUCCUAUUAUGUCAUCAUUCGUGGGUCCAAAGCCCAAUUUUUAAAUAUAGUUAUAGCCAUAUCUCAACGAUAUUAAAAUAUUUGUUUUUAUAAACAAAUAUUGUUUGUCGACACGUCUCUUUUUAUAAAAAGGACCGAUGUCAAAUAAAAAAGUUUAAAUACCAAACAAAUAUGGAUUAUGUCCAUAAUUUUGUUUUUUGGUAACUCAGACGUACUUCUCCUUUUUAGGGUUAAACGUCAAUAUUUUAGACAAGUCUCCUAUUUUUAGGGACUGAUGUCAUUUUUAACGUGUCUCCUAUUUUUUUUAGGGACCGACGUUAACCAUAAAAAAAAUAAUAAAAUUGCAAAUAAACUCAAAAUAUAAUAUCAUUUGAAACAAAUAAAAAAACACACAAGUAAGGGUAACCUUUCUUUUGAAAGGAUGUUUUAAGGGUGGUGUCUACCUUCCCUUAAUCAUAACUAACCCAGUACCCGAAUCUCUGGGACCAGUGUCUAAUUUGGGAUUUCUAGUUCCCUCAAAUUACUAGAUGGCGACUCCAAUAAAUUUUUCAUUUCCCCCAAUUAAACAAAUCUUUUUUGUUAAAUAAACAAAAAUGAGCGGAGCCGUCGCCCGACGUCGUGUAUCGACAGUUGCUGUGGAAGGAAAUCGACGGAGGAGCAGCCGUGGCUGAGGAGAUCGCCUACAGAUCGGUGGCUUGGUGGUCUGUCGGUGUCCGGAGGGAAGUCCUUGGUCGCUGCCUAGAGGCCGAAUGGAGAGGAGAGUGAACAGCGGUUGAUGGCUCCGGGUGAGGCUGGUUCGGUGGUGCUGCCCGUUGCAAGUGAGAGGGUGAGGUUUUUUUGGCUUGGGAAAUUGCCGGCUAUGGAGAUGGAAAUGAGGGGGGAACGAAGUGGCUGGGUCCGAAAAAAUCAAAGCCAAGGGGAAAGAGCUGAUGAGCGGGGGAAGCGACCGAGGAAGAAUGAAAAAAAUUCGAAGGGCUGGGGGACGGCGGCGUUUCUUUUUUUUGUGCAGGGAGAGGGGAAGGUCUCGGUGACCGGUUUCUGGUUAAGGUGAAAAAUAUGGGGGAACAGCGUGGGUAGAAGCUGAGGGAAGGGCUGUUUGGCUUUGGUUUGUGGCCGGCGGCUGUAAAAAAAAAAAAUAAUAACCAGGGGGAAAGGGGGGCUGCAGGCUUGGUAGAGAUAGGUUUAGGGUUAGGUUAUUUUUUGUAUUUUCUGAUAUUUCAAAAUUGCCCCCCUCCUUUGUGUGAGUUAAAGACCAGUAUUUAUAGGCAAAAAUGUUGCCAAGUUUUUCAACUUGGUCCCUCAACUUCUUUCUUUUUGUAAAUUUUGAUUUUUCUUAUUUUUUUGUAUUUUUUGAAAACAAGAAAUAUCAACGUCGACUCAAAUGCGGAAAAUCAAUGAUUUUAAAAAUGACGCGUGAAAAAUCGAACGCGUUUGAAAAUAUUUUAACAAUUUAAAUUCUUUUUUAGACGACGUUGAAAAUACUAAAAUGACGAAAAUAUAUUAAAAAACAUAUUUUUUGGAUUUUCUUUGUUUUUCUCAAUUUUUUGGAUUUUUGAAAAUAUAUCAAAACAUGGGUCAAAAAUUGGGUAGCAACAGAUGCCCCCUCUUUACAAUGCUUACGAAGCAAAACUCCUCAAAAUUUUGCAUAGUAAGCUUUGUACAGAAAACAAAAGGAAAAUAAUUUUAUUAUCUUGGGCAACCUGACUACACAUACUCACUCUAGUCUAUUUUCACGGGCGACCGACCCACACUCUCCCAAUAGUCUAUUUUCACGGGCGACCUGCCCACACAUUGGGUUUACCUGAGAUCCCAUCUGGCGACCUCAUUCAACUGGAACGAAAAUAUUGUGUAACUCGGUUAACCUGAAAUCCCAUCUGGCGAUUCCCUUUAACCAAAGCUACCCGAGAUCCCAUCUGGCGACCUCAUUUAACCAAAACAAAAGAAUGUGAAAAAUGGUCUCAUUGUAUGGGUGACAAACCCAAGAAAAAAAUGAUGGUCUCAUUGUAUGGGUGACGAACCCCAGAAAAAUGUUGGUCUCAUUGUAUGGGUGACGAACCCCAGAAAUAUGAUGGUCUCAUUGUAUGGGUGACGAACCCCAGAAAUAUGAUGGUCUCAUUGUAUGGGUGACGAACCCCAGAAAAAUGAUGGUCUCAUUGUAUGGGUGACGAACCCAGGAAAAAUGAUGGUCUCAUUGUAUGGGUGACGAACCCAGAUGGAAAAAAAUGUGAAGUGUGGUCGCAUUGUAAUGGGUGACCUACCCACGUGGAAAAAAUAUGAAGUGUGGUCUCAUUGUAAUGGGUGACCUACCCAGAUAAAAAAGAAUAUGAAGUGCGGUCUCAUUGUAAUGGGUGACCUACCCAAAAAUGGAAAAAUAUGAAGUGUGGUCUCAUUGUAAUGGGUGACCUACCCAGAUGGAAAAAAUAUGAUGAAGUGGUCUCGUUGUGAUGGGCGACCUACCCAGAUAGAAAGAAUGUGAAGUGCGGUCUCAUUGUAAUGGGUGACCUACCCAGAUGGAAAAAAUAUGAUGAACGGUCUUAUUAUGAUGGGCGACCUACCCAGAUGGAAAAAAUGUGAUAUGACAAGUGUGAAAAAUAGGACUUACCUGGCGAAAUCCUGAGGGGAUGACAGAAGAAGGGCUGGAAAACUUGGUGCUUCCUGAUAAUUCCCGAUCAUAGGGUUUGAAAACUCGGUGUUUCCUGACUGCAAGGGUUGAAAACUCGAGGCUUCCCGAUUGCAAGGUUGAUCUUUCCAUUUCUUUGGGAUUUUCCUAAUGGUAGGGUUCAUCCCAUCGUCCUUUUAUUCGAUGAUCAAAACCGAUUCUUUAUUAUCAUCACCACAAUGCUUCUUUCUCUUUCCACCAUCUUGCUGGACCUCAUUAAGGAUUUUCCUGUAACAAUUCAAAAAUAUGUGCAAAUGGUUUUUUUUUUUUUUUUUUUUUUUUUUUUGAGGUUAGAUGAUAUACAUGCAUCCUUACCUGUUUUGAAAUAAUAGGUCCCCCCUCUUUGAUGCUCCAUCGUCAUAGGGUGCCCUUAUUUGUAUCCCAAAGCUUUCUUUGUUCUUCCGAUGUAUUGGCUCAUUCAUGUGUUAGUCAUCCACUCAGCUGUAAAUGCAGUGCCCAUCCCGGGCUGUCUUCGACAAUUACUGCUUGCAUCGUUCAUGAAGCUUGACCCUCCCCCCAAGUGUAGUACUGCUUGAUUCAUCAUGAGCGAUUUUCUCUCCUGGCUUCUUCUGAGAAAUUAUCCUCUGAUUGAUUGUGUGCAUCAUGCCAACACCCAUCACGUUUGUUAAUCAGUCAUGAACUUGCCUUCGGUUGAAACACCAUUCAAGUAUGUAUGGUCACCAGCCUUCAUGGAACUGCCAAGUCAUCUAGACAUGUAUCUCAUACUUUGCAGUAAACAACUCAUCAUUGUAAGCGCGAUGUAUUUCUCUAUGGAUUCCUCUUAGCUUGUCAAAUCAGAUCAUGAAAAUACUUGCUUUGGCAUCAUUAAUGAUGUUCAUGUUAUCACCCAUAUUCAUGCGGUGAAGUGCGCAUUUGAGCUUCAGAAUAGAUGGUCCCAUAGUCAGUCUUGGUGGUGCAUCCUCCUUUCAGCCUUCAUGCACAUGCAACUGUGUGAUAACAUCGUUCAAAAGUCAUAACCAUGUUGAAGAUGAUAAACCAAGAUGAAGACAUGAAAAUAUCCUUCUAGUGCAUCGUUUCUCAUCAAUUGCUGCUGAAGUUCACUAAAUCAUGGAUUGUCUUUGAACAACAUUGCCCCUAGUUGAUCUGAACAUGCUCAUUCUUUUGUUUACAACCAAAUGGCUUUUGUGAAUGUCAGGAAGGACUUUGAUGGACUUUGAUGAUUCAUCAUGUGAUUCUUUCUUUGCCCCCAGCUGAUCUGGAUACUGUUUGCUUUCCCUCUUAAGGUCCACUGUAUUGCCCCCAGGUGGUCAACGUUUCAAAGAGUGUCGAGAAAUGUUGAUGUCAUUUUUUGUCAAGAAUUUUGCAAACUCAAUUGAUGUUCUUGUUUGAAAAUCUUUCUUGUUCUGGAAUCAAAUCUCAACAUUUCAACGAUCAUGUCUAUUCAAGUAUAAUUGUUGAAAUGAAAUCAAAGAGAUAUCAGUUUUUGAAAAGUUAUUUUUGAAAUUCGAGCUCCUUUGGUCAAAGACCCAACACACUAUUCACUGCAGUCCUUUGAUUGUCUUGUAUUUUGAAAACAGAAAUGACCCGUUGUAAGAUUAAAAUGACUUUUUCAUGGUUCUGUCCACUUUAAACUCUGAUUUUGGGUAUAUCUUUUGAUGGUAUGGUGAGGUGAUAUUUUUGUGAAUUUCAAAACAAGAUGCUCAGGCUUGAUAAAGAAAGGUUGUUUCUCUUCUAGUAUUUAUUUUAUCAGCAUGCAUAAUAACCAGUAGCUUAAUUCAUGAAGUCACGACCCUUAUAAAAACUCUUCAAGUUUUGAGAGCGCCAUUUAUGGUUCAAAUUGCUUGCUUGAUUAAAAAGGGCUUUUAAAAGCACGUAAUGCAGGCUAUGGUUCAUGGCUAUGAAAGAAAGGAAUUUCAAAGGCUCAAAAGGUGUUUGAGGGUUUCAAAGACCUAGGAUCAACAUCAACUAUUCAUCAACUCUUUCUAUUGUUGUCUUUGUAGGAAACGACAUAUAACCUUGUUAACCUCAAAGUUCAGAUUUCUUAACAUAGGUCAUAAUGCAAAUCCAACCUUUCCUUGAUGACUAACCAACCUUAAUCAUCUGAUAACAUCAAGAGCUUUAUAAUGGAUACCAAAAUUCAACGCUUAUAGCUUAGUCUUUUUCUGGUAUUGACUUUUGUUGUGCCUUUCCUUGAUUGAAAUUUCUUUUGCUCUUCAUAAACUUGAUAGGCGUUCUCCUUCCUUUAUCUUUGACUUGUAUUUAAGUGAAGGCAAUUUCAACUUCCUUUUUUUCAUUCUCUUUUUUUUUUCAUAGCCUUCCUCAAAAUUUUCUUAUAUGCCCCCAGUCUAUGUGUUUUCUUUUAGCUCUCUCUCAAUCAUUGGACCUUUGUUAUAAGCCUUCCCCUUUAUCCAUUAAUUAUAUCAAUGUCUCCAAAAUAUCUCUCAUUUGCCCCUAGUGUGGGGUGUGAUCCUAGUCAGGGUUUCUUUUUGAAAGAAAAUAUUUUACCAGGCUCAAAAUGGGACUGCAAGGGAUAUAAUCUUUAGAAAGUGAAGGGAUAUCAAAGAUGGCCUUUUCUCAUUUCAAGCAAGGUCGGUUAAACCGAUAAAUUUUGACCUCAUCCAGUGUAAUGAUUGGACUUGUAAGAGUCAUGAUUCACGAGUCCAUAACUAUUGAAUCCACUACAUGUCAUUAUGCAUACUGCUAAAACUUAGCUAUAUGAUGUGUGGUUCAGUUUCAAAAGGUAUGAGUUCAAAAUUGUUUGGUCACCUCAUGUCAUUUUCAAGCAUAGAGUCAUUUCUGUAAUCAAAACACUUUUAAUCUUCCGGAUUGAUUAACCUUUAUCGCAUGUUGGAGUUUGAUCAAAAUAUUUUGUCAGAAUAAAAUGUUAAACAUCUGUUGAUUUCAAAACAACAAAGAGACAAAAGCAAGGCAUGUUUCGUUGAAGGAUGAGAUGUGAUCCCAAAACAAAAUGCAGAAUUCCAAAACAAUAUGAUUGACUGUUCAUCACCAUUCUUGAAUCAGCUUUUCUGGCAAUAUCUGUGUUUUGCCAAGCAUUUUCGAUCACAUGUUUCUGAAGAUGUUCGGGGAACAAUAUAGCCAAUGACACCCUCUUCAACGACUCCACUUGUCUCUUGCUCACCAACUUUCAGACUCUUCUUGCAAUUCUUGAAACUGUUCACUUGAAAUGGUUGAGGACCCCACCAUGACAUCACAUCUCUUUCUGGAUUAACCACCUAGAAAUUGGUGGUUGCAUGGGAUUUGUCGGAGUCAAGCAAAAUUCUGGAAUCUGGCAGAUGCUGGUCGACAAACUUAAGUGGCAGAGGAAUGUCCCAUCUUGGCAAAGACAUUUGAGCAAUUGAUGCUACCGUGAGACCUGGCUAUACCACAUAAUUAAGGGUUCACACCGUCAAAGUCAUCUCCUGAUUCAUCUCAUCAUUGUUCUGGAAUCCAUGGCAGAUCCUUCAAUCUUUCUCUUCAUAGCUUGUUCAAUUUUCGGCAAAUCCUCACAACUUAUUUCAAUCUUCCAAUGUUGUGUUGGUUGAGGAUUGUUAGAAAACUUUCUAACAGCUUGGUAAUCUUGGCAGCGCCCAGAAACUUGUAGUAUCGCCACUACCGUGUGGAAUCACACAUUGUCUCUAUUGGAAGAGCACCUGAUGAAUCUAAAACUCCUUUGUCCCCUCUUCGAUUUCUCACUGACAGUGCAGCAAACAAACACCUAUAGAGGAAGUCCUGCUCUGUUGAAGUUUCAGUAUUCUUCAUGUUUUUCAGUCUAGGCAUGUCUCUUCUCUCUACUUUUGCUUUUAAUACUGACACUGUUGGAGGAAAAUCAUAGAUGAUCUGAAACUACUGUAUUCCUUCUUGGAUUUCCCACUUGCGGAUCCACAAACAGAUUCCUGCGAGAGAGCUCUACGUUGAAGUUUGAUGUCUGCUCGUAUUUUUCAGACCAGGUCUGGCUCUUCAACCUACUAAGAUGUCUUCGUGCUGAAACUGAUGAGAGAAAUAUUUGUAGCAUAUGCAACUUAUAAAUCCCCUCUUGCAUUCCCAAUUUGCAGAGCCAUAAAUGGAUUUUAUAGAGGAGCUCUGCCACAUUGAAGUUCAGUGUUAAUCAUGGUUUUUCAGACCAUCUUGUGCUGCUGAACUGGAAUUGAGCUCAUAAUGGGGUAACUUCAAAGCAGACUAAUGCACCAUGUACAUGAGGCUAGUGGUCGUUUGGUUCCAUUAGAUGAUGUGGAGGCGAUGAACACUUAACAGUGCAACUGGACAAGAAUCAGAGUUGUCAUUAGUUGAUGACUGAAGGCAUUGUUGUUUUGUUCAUGACGGAAAAGGAGAGAUACACUUCAAUUGGAUGAACAAGCAGUGUUCCCACAGAAACUGUGCAGACACUCUCUUUCCAUUUGAUGCUCAACACUUGUUCGAGCAGAUCUGAGUCGCUACUUCACCUUGAUGCUCUCAACCUAUAUCUGAGCCUCUUUGUUCACUUCCAUUCAUUUUUCUUCAAUCGUGCAGCACAGCUUGUAUGGGGACCUACUUUCACCCGGUACAUGCAUGAUAAAUGUAUGAACAUGUAAUCUAUAUGAUGAACUCACCCUUCGAGAGGUGACAAUAUGGUCGUAACUCUUGUAUGAUGGACAAGAAUCGUGAUUUUUGCCCAAACUCUACAAUGAAAAUUUUCGGAGCAACGGCCAAUGUGUCACCCACAAGUCUUGAGUUCAAGAUGCUUCAAGAAGGGUUUGCCCUUAUGCAAAAAACGAUAGCACAUACAACCUAAGGACAGGUUCUAUUCAUUAUGUGAACAUGGGUAGGUUUUCUAUCUGGUCUCAAAAGGGUCUCAUAUCUGCCCAGUGACGUUCUUCGUAAAGACAGUAUGGGGGCGUUGCAAGGAAUGGUUAAGGCACGUAUACCCACCAUUACCAAGCAGGCACUCAGAUAUGAGUUGGGUGUUUCACGCAUCUGAACCCUGACCAAUAGUCUUAGGGCAGAUCGCUAGUUCCCCACCUAACCUAGAAGCUUGUGUGUGCUUUCAAAAAUAAAUACAGGUGAUGCAUGAGACAAUUCUAUAAAAUGCAUGGAAAUAAAUAUUAACAAAAAAGAUAAAAAUGCAAAAACUUAAACACAUCAAAUACACAAAGCUUAGUCCAAAUCGAAAAAUACCUUCCCAGUGGAGUCGCCAUUCUGUCGCACCCCAAAAAAAUCAGCGCGCGGCAUCGGCUGGCGAUUUAAUCUCGUUUUUGCGUUUGCUUGAAUUUGGUUCGUUGGAGUCGCCACCUAGUAAUUGAUUUCGGGCUACUAGGAAACCGGAUGUACUGGUCUUGUCAGAGAUUCGCGGGUAAGGGACUGGUUGUGGUUAGGGAAGGUAUUAGCACCCCUAACGCACCCUACCUGAGGUAAGCUGCUUCGUGGCUUUGACGUGUUAAAGAAGUUUUAAUAAUUGUCUUUUCUUCAGAAAUUAGAAAUAUCACUUACGUAUAAGUUAAUAAUUCUUAACCGUGAUCCGAUCAAAAUAUUAAAUUCUUCUUUAAUAUAUUUGCAAUUUUAUCAUUAAAAAAUAUGUACAAAUAAAUAAAACAAAAAUACAAGCACACACAUACACUUUCACUAUUUUAUUUUUGUUUCUUUUCUUUUCUUUUUCUUUUCUUUUCUUUUACAUCCAUAUUUACAAAAUACAAAUUACAAAAACAAAAAAAAAAAUCAAAACUAAACAAAUUACAUUAAAAACACAUUAAAAUUACAAAACAAUCCCUAAAAUUCAGGAAAAACAACUCUGGGAAACAACUCAAGCCCGAAUGAACAGUAGCGGCGCGUCUUCCCACGCGCCACCGCUACUGGCGGCGCGUGGGUUCACGCGCCGCCACUGGAAAACAUGGCAAACCAGGGGUGUAUGGAGCGCCUUCCUCCCCCGUUCAUUUUUAUGCCGGCGGUGAGGAUCCGGUCACCUACAAACACAAGAGAAAUACACAAAGAGCAGUCGGUUUUAGUUUUUUAGAUCUGUUUUUAAUUUUCUUCUGCCCGUUUCGGAUCUGCUCAAUUCGUUCUCUUUCUGGUGGUUAUUCCUUCGUUCUUCAGAUGGCGGAGUGCUGGGUGGCUCGCCGGGCGUGCUGCGGCUGAAGAGGGGAUCGUGGAUCUACCACCGGUUGAAGGAGAUGAUGAGAGUGUUGGCCCCGCGCGGGAUCUGUUCGGCCAUCGCUGCUGUGGAAGGAAAUCGACGGAGGAGCAGCCGUGGCUGAGGAGAUCGCCUACAGAUCGGUGGCUUGGUGGUCUGUCGGUGUCCGGAGGGAAGUCCUUGGUCGCUGCCUAGAGGCCGAAUGGAGAGGAGAGUGAACAGCGGUUGAUGGCUCCGGGUGAGGCUGGUUCGGUGGUGCUGCCCGUUGCAAGUGAGAGGGUGAAGUUUUUUUGGCUUUGGAAAUUGCCGGCUAUGGAUGUUGCUACCCAAUUUUUGACCCAUGUUUUUGAUAUAUUUUCAAAAAAUCCAAAAAUAGAGAAAAACAAAGAAAAUCCAAAAAAUAUAUGUUUUUAAUAUAUUUUCGUCAUUUUAGCAUUUUCAACGUCGUUUAAAAUUUUUAAGGGUCUUUCGAAUGCGUUCGACUUUUCACGCGUCAUUUUCAAAAUAAUUGAUUUUCCGUAUUUGAGUCGACGUUGAUAUUGCUUGUUUUCAAAAAAAAAUACAAAAAAAACAAGAAAAAUCAAAUUUUACAAAAAAAGAAAGUUAAGGGACCAAUAUUGAAAACUUGUCAAUAUUUUUUGCCUAUAAAUACUGGUGUCCAACACUUGCAAAGGGGGGGCUAAUUUUGCAAUUAAAGAAGACAACCAAAAAACCCUAAGGGCUGAACAUUUUUUUCAUCUCCUGCACCCUAGGCAGCCGCCCCCCCUCCCCUGGAUUUUCUUCUCUGCGCCCUCAACUGCACAGCCGGCUCCCUCUUUUCCUUUCCUUUCCCCCUGCCCAGCACCAGCUCCCACAGCACCGUUUCCCUCCAGCUUCUUCACCCAAAACCAUCCUUCCAUCUCCAGUUUUCUGCUCACACAAGACAGCCCCUCACCUCCUCUCUCUUACUCCGAUCUUCACUCAUCAACUGGCCAUAGACCAACAACAGCCACGAAUUAGCUCCCCCUUCCACAGAUCCUCUCUCAGCUGCUCCCUUCUCCAGCCGCAGCGGCGCCUUCUUCAUCCGGCAGCACCCAGCAGAGCCUUCCUUCUCCAGCUCCUCCCUCAUAAAUCGCCCUCCACCAAGCUACACAGCAGCAGGCUCCUCCACACCGAAGCCCCGAACACAACAGCAGCAAAGGACAGCCCUCCUCCAGCCGUUCCCCCCAGCUUCAGCAGUGCCCACAGACCGGCCACCAGCAGCAGCAGCCGAUCUCCUUCACCGUCGUUUGCCAGCCUCCAGCACUCCUUGCUGCCAGUACAUGGAACAAGGGAGAAGAGGAUGAGCAGCAGCAGCUGAUCUGCUACGAAGCAGACCCAAAAGAGGCCGUGGCAGAUCUAAAAAGGGAGAGCCGGAAUUGGUUGUGUUGUUGGUUUUACUUUGCAGGUGACUGGGAGAUGCACUGCCGGUACGAACGAGAAGAGAAGAAGGAGACAAUCCCGAUCUACCAGCUUGCUGGUCUUCACCGGCGGUGGGCGUGAGGCCCACGCGCCGCCACUGUUCCCGCGCCCAGAAAACUUCCUUGACACUGUUCCGACUAUAGAGGGCUAUCCCUGUAAUUUCAGAUUGUUUUAGGGCUAAUUUUUGUAAUUGUAAAAAUUGUUUAAUGUUUUUUUUUGUUUAGUUGACUUUUUAUAAUUUGUAAUGUUGAUGUAACAAAAAAAGAAAGAGAAAGAAAAAAAAAGUAAUAAAAAGAAAGUGUGUGUUGUUUUUUUUAUUUAUUUAUGAAUUAUAAAAAAAAAAGGACGAAUUAAUUGUUAAUUUAAAUAUGGUUAAAUAUCAAGGACAAAUAAAAUCAAGUUGUAUUUUCUACGAAAAUGUAAGACAAGUUUCUACAUAUAUUCGGGAAUUCAAUAACUGAUUUAUUCAAGCCUUAGAAUUUAAUUAAUAUUGACAAAGAAUUGAUUUAAUUUAAAUAUGUUUAAAUAUCUCAAGGACAAAUAAAAUCAAGUUGUAUUUUCCAUGAAAAUGUAAGAACAAGUUUUUACAUAUAUUCGGGGAUUUAAUAACUGAUUUAUUCAAGCCUUAGAAUUUAAUUAAUAUUUUAAAUUUUCAAAUCACAUUAGAACACAAAGCAGCUUACCUAAGGUAGGGUGUGUUAGGGGUGCUAAUACCUUCCCUAACCACAACCAGUCCCUUACCCGCGAUCUCUGAUAAGACCAGUACAUCAGGUUUCCUAGUAGCCCUCAAUAAAUUACUAGGUGGCGACUCCAACGAACGAAUUCAAAAGAAAACGCAACAAACAAUGAAAAAUCGCCAGCCGACGCCGCGCGCAGGAUUUUUUUGGGGUGCGACAAUGGAGAUGGAAAUGAGGGGGGAACGAAGUGGCUGGGUCCGAAAAAAUCAAAGCCAAGGGGAAAGAGCUGAUGAGCGGGGGAAGCGACCGAGGAAGAAUGAAAAAAAUUCGAAGGGCUGGGGGACGGCGGCGUUUCUUUUUUUUGUGCAGGGAGAGGGGAAGGUCUCGGUGACCGGUUUCUGGUUAAGGUGAAAAAUAUGGGGGAACAGCGUGGGUAGAAGCUGAGGGAAGGGCUGUUUGGCUUUGGUUUGUGGCCGGCGGCUGUAAAAAAAAAAAAAAAACCAGGGGGAAAGGGGGGCUGCAGGCUUGGUUGAGAUAGGUUUAGGGUUAGGUUAUUUUUUGUAUUUUCUGAUAUUUCAAAAUUGCCCCCCUCCUUUGUGUGAGUUAAAGACCAGUAUUUAUAGGCAAAAAUGUUGCCAAGUUUUUCAACUUGGUCCCUCAACUUCUUUCUUUUUGUAAAUUUUGAUUUUUCUUAUUUUUUUGUAUUUUUUGAAAACGAGCAAUAUCAACGUCGACUCAAAUGCGGAAAAUCAAUGAUUUUAAAAAUGACGCGUGAAAAAUCGAACGCGUUUGAAAAUAUUUUAACAAUUUAAAUUCUUUUUUAGACGACGUUGAAAAUACUAAAAUGACGAAAAUAUAUUAAAAAACAUAUUUUUUGGAUUUUCUUUGUUUUUCUCAAUUUUUUGGAUUUUUGAAAAUAUAUCAAAACAUGGGUCAAAAAUUGGGUAGCAACAAAUAGCAUCCGCACAAGACUAGUUUCAUGGAAAGGUAAGUUCUAGCGAAAUGCAUUCACGGUGUUAUCAUAUGGAAUUUUAUGGGGGUAUUUGGACUGCAAGAAAUAAGCAUGUUCAAAGAUAAAAAGCUUGAUUGAAAUACAUUGUUUCAACUGAUACUCCAUCGUCUAGAACUUUCAUUAAAGGUCCGGAAUAAUAAUUUCUCAUACACGAAGAAUAAUUUGAUUUAAGGUCUCCAAGGCAUUUUAACAAGGUCUAAUAAGUGAUGAGUUCUUGUUUAUUAGUAGCAACUUCUUUGUAACUUCUUUUUAUGUUUUUCUCUAUAACUUCCUGUUUAUUAUAGCCUGAAUGAUAUGUAGUUUUAUCAAUAAUUAACUCGAUUGAUGAGUUGACGUCAUUCAUCAAACGCAAAUUAAGCUCUUAAUUAAUGAGAGGAAAAUGUAGGGUUGGAAAAAAGUUUGGAAGUGAUAAUCAGUACAUACCAAGCCAAAUAAGAUUGUCUCAGGUACUAAAUAGGAUUGUGUCCGGUGUAGUAAUAAAGUUUCUACCUUCUAUGGUAUAUAAAAUGUCUGACCACUUCAACAACAUGUCACGUAAAGAGUGCAUUAAUGUCAUUAUCCUAGAAAUUUUUCCCACACUUUAUUUAUUUUGCUAAACUUUAUAUACUAAAUUAUAAUCAACUCCUAGAUAUUUUACACGUAAAAUUAUAGACCUCGUCCACUUUGUGCCUCUAUAAAUAGCUUAACCUCGACCUUAUCUCCACACAUCACAAGAAAUUCCUUUCUCUCUUUGCAUAUCAAUAUCAAAACUCCCUUCAGGAGUAGCGAAAAUGAGAAGCAAUAUACUACUUACCAUUAUCUUAGCCAUAGUUCUUGCAGGAGCCCUGCCCAAGAAUGUGGUAGAGGCUCAGAAUUGUGGCUGUGCUGCAAACCUUUGUUGCAGUCAAUAUGGCUACUGUGGCACCGGCGAUCCCUAUUGUGGUCAGGGAUGUAAACAAGGGCCCUGUUAUUCAUCGCCUACGCCUACUACUCCUAGUGGGAGUGGUUCUGUUGCUGAUAUUGUUACGCCUGCUUUCUUCAAUGGUAUAAUCAACCAAGCUGCUGCAAGCUGUGCUGGGAAGAAUUUCUAUACAAGAAAUGCAUUUCUCAGUGCUGUCAAUUCAUAUUCUCAGUUUGGUAAACUUGGUUCAGCUGAAGCUUCUAAGCGUGAGAUCGCAGCUUUCUUCGCUCAUGUUACUCAUGAGACUGGACGUAAGUUCCUCUUCCAUCCCUAAUAACAUUUCUCGCAGCAUUCGAAUAUGGAUUUUGUCAACAAAGUGAACUGUCUAAUAAGUGUGUUUCAGAUCCUCGUGUGUAAACUGACAAGAGAAAAUGUCAUAUUUUGCAGACUUCUGCUAUAUAGAAGAGAUAAAUGGUGCUUCCGGUGACUACUGUGAUGAAAACAACAGGGAAUACCCAUGUGUUGCAGGCAAGAAAUACUAUGGCCGCGGACCACUCCAACUAUCAUGGAACUACAACUAUGGGCCAGCCGGAAGGAGCAACAACUUUGAUGGAUUGAACAAUCCUGACAUUGUAGCAAGGGAUGCGGUUGUGUCAUUUAAGACAGCCUUAUGGUUUUGGAUGAACAGAGUUCGUCCUGUUGUAAGCCAAGGUUUUGGAGCAACUAUUCGAGCCAUUAAUAGUAUAGAAUGCAAUGGUGGAAACGCAGGUGCUGUUCAGGCUCGUGUUAGAUAUUAUAGAGAUUAUUGCAGUCAACUCGGCGUUUCUACUGAGAAUAACCUCACUUGCUAGGUUUUUAAAUAACCUGAGUUGUUAUGCCAAGUUAUGGCUAAUCAUAUGAAAAUAAGAUGUACUGCUAUGAAACAAAUUGAAGAGAAAUAAAGUUUAUAAUUAUCGUUAUGUCUCGUAUAGUUUUUCAGUAAUUUUGAUGUCCCUUUUCAUAUUUGUUUUUAUUACUUGGAAAAACCUCCACUUUACUUCGCCAUAAAUUUGUGUUGAAAUUCAAUUUACGCCUUGUACGUAUUUUAUUUUCCAUCAAUUGAGUCCAUUAUAACCAAAAGAUUGUCCAUCCAACCCAAUAUAUUAGCAAUUUGAAAUUGAAAUCACUAUAUGUGUGCAUAUUCAUUUAAUUUAUUCUUCCAUUUCCAUAAUACAUUUUUCAAAUUUAUGUUAAUAUCCAUAGUAGGAUCUACUCUAAUUAAUUACUUCUCGAGUAAAACAAAAUUUCAUGAUUAUGACAUUUUUUCUUUUUAUGUUUUUGAAAAUGAAAGGUUGUGUUGCCUUGCCUAUUAUGUUUAUAAUACAUGUUCAGCUUACUUUUCAUCUUUCAAAUUUGGUUGAUGCAGAGUGUUUUUUAAAAUGAUUUUUAUUUAAAAAUAUAUUAAAAUUAUAUUUUAUUUUUCAUAUUAGUAUAUUCAAACAAUAAAAAAAACUUUUUCAAAAACAAAUUAAAAUUUAAAAAAUACAGUGCAACCGCACUUCUAAACAACACCGAAGUUAAAAAGAAACUAAGUUGUGGUUUUUUAGAUGUUAAGAGCCUAUUUGAGAACACGGUGUAAACCACAUUCUUUUAAAUUUAAAAAAAAUUGCUAAAAUUUAUUUUUUUAUGUCUUGAGAUUUUUUAAUGUGUUAAUGUUAAAAUAAUUUUAAAAAUUAAAAAAUAAAAAAUAUAUAUUUUUUAAAAAACAACUUUAGACUGCAACAACUAUUGAAAUUUUAAACAGUCCAUAAGAAAUUGAAUUGAAUUGUACAGGAUCUUUGCCAUGGAAUCACUAUUGGGAUUAUUUAGUGGUUCAAAAUCAUGUUGAGCUAGCCGACGUUGAAAAUCAUCAAUAUUAAUGGAGAGACUUUUCAAAGAAGUUGUCAAGUCCAUUUCUGACAUGAUAGCAAUUAUGGAUUGGGGUCCAUGUCCAUGUACCAACAUUGUAUAGAUCAUGAACCAAGUUUAAUGUCAAAGGAUCGAUUUGCCAGGAAAAAAAAAUUGAAAAAUGAAAAAUUAGGCAACUUGCUGUGAUUUCCUUUUGCUUCCCUAUUAUCGUAUUGUUCGGCGGUGCUAGGCCAUGUGCUUGGCUCACUUGACCGGCAGCACUAUAUGUUGACCAAAGCAAAUAUGAUCUUUUCCAAGAUAUACGAUAUGGCCGCAGUGUGGUCAAAUAUCUUGGUAGUGUUGAUUAAUGGAGAGCUAAAGCCACAGCCCACCCAUUUCUUAUCCACCUAGCCAGAUGAGGAAGAAACGAUGGCUCCUAUUUUACUUAUUUUUCAGCUGCAAGAGCUGAGUUGUAGUAAGGUGGAAUGAGUUGACAUGACAUGUGUUGGAAUGAGCUGUAUCUAUCCCAACUCGUUGCAUGUUUUGGUUAUAAAAUCUUUUUAAAAGUAUUUCUAAGUUUUUUUUUGUUAUAUAUUUUUAAUUUUUAUUAAUUUUUUAGUGUUUUAAAAUUAUUUUGAUGUAUCGAUAUUAUAAAAAAAAUUUAAAAAAUAAAAAUUUAUUAUUUUAAUGUAUUUUUAAAUAAAAUAUACUUUUAAAAACAAAAUUUAAAUUAGCAGUAAAAACACAACAUAAAUGUGACAAAACACAGUGAGCUAAACACCAAGAGAAAGAGUGUUUAUCCAACCUAGUUAAAUCUUAGGCGUCGAUUCUGGGCAUCCAUUUUAAUCCUGACCGUUAGCUACAAAAACUGGAAAAAGAAAGGAGCACUAGAAGACGGCUUCAGUUUUAUCUUUUUCUAUCCUUUCAUUUAUGGUACGUUGAAAGGUUGUCUUCUCUAUCUUAAAAAUAUAUAGGGAGGGGACGUAGAUUUCGGGUAAUUGGCUAGUCAACGUCGGCUAUGCCCAUACUGUGCCAUUGGGCGCCACUAUCCUUCCAUUUAUGGUAAUUGACUAUUCAACGUUUUUCUUUUCACAUAGUUGUGGGGUGUCUACUCUUCGAAUGGGGUUCUUCUAGUCCUAGAUAGGAUACUACCUUUUCUUUCGUUAGGAGAUAGGAUUUGUCAUACUUUUUCCCUUCAAAUGCUGAAAUUAUUAAAAAAUAAUAUAAAUUAAAUCUCAUUUAAUAACUUAAAUUUUUUGAUUGAAAUGAUUUUUUGAUAUUUUUAAAUUUUUUGAUUGAAAUGAUUUUUUGAUAUAAUAUCAAUACUUUGAUAACUAAAUGGUCACGAGUUUGAAUUUCACAAUCUCUAUUUAUUUGAUAAAAAUUAAACACAGGAUAAUGUAGACAUGUAUAAGUUUUAAGCUCAAAAGACUUUUAUAUGAGGGAAUGUGUUAGAAAAUAAUAUAAAUCAUAUUCUAGAACUUUAUUUAAUAAUUUAAACUUUUAGAUUGAGAUGGUUAUUUGAUAAAAUUGACAUGAUAAGGUACCAAUUAAGUCUGUGUCUUUAUGUGGACAAGAUUUCUAUUUUCUUGCCUAACUACAAAGUUUACUUGAAAUGGUAGUGAUUGAUUAUCCUUUCCUAGUUGUUUGAAAAGUAAUACGCACGUGCCAGCAAUGGCCCUGCAGGUAAUGGCGCCACAAAUGGUUUGGGAAAUUAAACUCCUUGCCCUCUCUAGGGCCUAGAUUUGUCUCCGCUGAUAGUGUGCUAAAGAAUUUAAAAGAAUUGGUAUUAGUAUUGUGAGUUUGAAGAAAAUUAGAGAAAUGAAAAAAAAAUGAGGGCGGCUAAAUUAUGGCUCUGUAAUUGGCUCUUCCAUAGACUGUAGUGGUCAGCGCCUUUGGAUUGCAAACAUCUAUGCUUCUAGAAAUCUUGAACUUCCAGUUUGUUAAGAGUUUUUAUCUAGUCACCCACGAUGGUCUGUAAUGAACUGAACAACCUAGUCAUUGAGAAGCCUAUAACACUUUAUGCAAGUCUCCAAGUGAACAAAUUUGCAGAUUAUGCUUGUCUCCUAGCAUUGAAAAUUCCCACGUUCGUAAAGCUUUUGAGGAUACUAUGAAGCUCAUCCCAUAUGAUUCCCAUCUAUCGAGUGCUGUAACAUCACAAUUCAAAGUUAAAACUUCAUGUUGAUUCAAAAAAAACUAAUGUUAAGAUAUCCAAAAGCCUUGAAAUGAUUUGAGAAUUUCAAGUGUUAGACAAAAAAUCCACCAUGAGUGAUUGGAUGUUCAAAUAUCUUAUGCGCUGCGACAAGGUCGGAUGUUAGAAAUAUGGGUGAACUCUCCCUCCAGUUUUUAUAAAACACUUUAAAAAAAAAAAAAAUCAUGAGGUUGCCUUCUUCACUCUCGCCUGUAAUAUGGGCUCUCAAAAUUGAAUGUGGAGCUGGAACCACUCGUCUCAUUAUCUUCAAGAUCUUCUAAAUCCUUAUUUAUUAAGUAAUGGUCACUUUUGAAACUUCCCUUUACAAAUCUUUAUUCACUAAGUUAUGACAGUUUUGUUCUUGGGCAGAACCUCCUCAACCAUAAUUAAUUCCCCUCUGCCAUAACCAUGUUUUGCGUUGUGAUCUCUAGCCAUAGUAGUUCAGCAACAUUAAAAAAAAGAAGGAACAAUAGGAUAUGAUACCAACUUGCACAAUUUAAACUAAUUAGACUGGGAAUAAAAAAAAAACAUGGGAAGAUAGAAUUCACCAAAAGGGCCAAACAAGAACCCUAGCUACAUUGUUAUUUUCAGAAUAUAUUCCUCCACCAAAAUCUACCUCAUAAAAAUAUUUUCAAUAACUUAAAUAGGUCUAUCUUCUCGAUCAAAAUGGAAAAAAUAAUCUUACAUGGAUAGAAAAAUUAAAAGCUAAAAUUUGAAAUAAAUAAAAACUAAAACUAAAAAAAAUAGCAAUUUAUAAAUCUAAUUUGAAAGUCUUGAUAACCUCAACGAGCCAAUAUUUCACUAUAGAAUAGAUCUGCAUAAUCUUUUAAUGAAAUUUAAAUAUGAUCUAAUAAUUAAAUAAAAUAUUAUGUUUAUUUUUAUCAGAAAUGUUAUUUGGAGUGACUAAAUCUUUUCUUGAGUUUGAACUUUUUAUUUAAUCCAUAAAUGUAUUUAUUAGGUAUUUUAUAUACUCUGAUUAUUAUUCUUGUACAUUAAUAUUAGGAAUAACCACAAUAAAUAUUGGUAUGGGAAAUUAAACUCCUUAGAAUUACCUUACCCAACUCUGAAGCCCUAGAUGUACAUGGCGUGGUAAAGGAUUUAAAAGAUAUGGUAUUAGUGUAUGGGAAAGAAAUUAAACUGAGAACUUGGCUCUGCCUCGGUGCUCAGUACCAUUCGAUCUCUAACAUCUAUGCAUGCUUCUAGAAAUUUUGAGCUCCUAGUCCGUUCAAAGUUUUUUUUAGCAGCCUUCCUUGAUGAUCUAUAUGAACCGAACAAUCAAGUCAUUGAGAAGCCUACAACACUUAGCCUAGUCCCUAACUUUGUGGCGCAUUGAGUGGAAGAAAUUUUCAACGUUUGACUCCAAGUAGUCACUCAUUUACGCUGUUUAGAAUCCAAGUUAAAUUUCCAUGUUGAUAAAAAAAAUAAAGUUAAGAUGGCAAAAUUCGCUGAAUCCGUACUUCAUGAAAUUUUAAUUAUUACAUAGGAAAAUACAUGUCCAAAGUUAAAAACACAUUAUAUUAUUCAAUGAACUGUAAUAUAAAUUGAUAGUUGAAAUAUAAGGUUGUGUUGCACUCAUGAAAUGAAAUGAUAGAAAGAUCUGAUUUAGUGUUAGGUUUUAAGCCAAUAGAAUUAGUUUGAAAGGAUAAUAUUAAUUGUUUUUUAAAAUGAUUUUUUGUUUGAAAAUAUAUUUAAAAAAUAUAUUAUUUUUAUAUUAGGACAUCAAAAUAAUAUAAAAAUAACAAAAAAAUUAAUUUAAAAUAAAAUAAAAUUAAUUUUUUAAAAAAUACUUUUAAAACCUAAACAAUUUUCUCAGUCUUGUCUUCUAACAUAAAAAUAUAUAUAUAUAUUAUGAAGCCAACAGUAUCAAUCACAUAAUCCAUUAUCUGUCAGAGUCUCGGUACUUGAGGGAUUUGAUCCCAUAUGACACAAGCCUGGUGACUUUACUAAUCAGCUCUUUUCUAGGUUUCUUGCGGGUUUUUUUUAUCAGUAAUCCUUCUCCAAUUUGUCGUCUCAAACUGGUUUUUAAUAUCUAUUUGAUGAUCAAAGAAAAGAAAAGGCCUAAUCAUCUAACAAGUAGUUUUAAUUCUAUUUCUGUAUAUUUCUACUUAAAAUAUAUUAAAAAAUAAUAUAAAUCAUAUAUUAAAACUUUAUUUAAUAAUUUAAGUUAUUAAGUUAAGAUGAUUCUUUAACAUGAUAUCAAAGUAUUGAUGACCAAGUGGUCAUGAGUUUAAAUCUCAUUAUCUCUAUUCAUUUGAUAAAAAAUAAGCACAAGGUAAUAUGGUCUUGUGGAAGUUUAAAGCCCAAAGAGCUUUCAAUUGAAAGGGUGUGUUAGAGAAUAAUAUAAAUCAUAUCUUGAGAUCUUAUCUAACAGUUUAAACUUGUGGGUUAAGAUGAUUUUUUGACAGAGUAAAAAUAUAAGCAUAGUAAUAAAUAUCUUCCAAGUUUAUUACUGCGGAUCAACUCAACAACCUACCAAUUAAAUAUUUUAUUUUAUUUUAAAUUGGUUUUUUUAUGAAAAUAAUAUAAAAUAUUUUAAAAAAAUCAUAAUUUAGAAUGACUUGCCAACCCUUCUACGAACCGAAUCUCGGAUUGGAUUGAUAUCUAGUUUGUAGUUUAUAACUAAGAACGUGAGAUGUAUCUCUUGCCAUCAAGGCAUUUAGAAUUUUCAUAUCUAUCGCUAUAAGGUGCUUUGUAGUUUCAUAAAACUUUGCUUAGUGAACCUACUUUUGUCGUUAUAAGUCAUCUAAGCAGACCCGUAUUCUACACGCACAAAUAUGCAUAAAAAUCUACAUGCUAUCCUGCUAUAUAUGGCCCAAACCAAACCUUAUUUUUCCAUCCAGAUUUUUUACCCUUAAUUAAAUAAAAAAACACCUUGCUUACCUUAUGUUUUCUCUUAACAUGGGAAACAAUGUACUAUCCAUCAUUCUGGCUAUGAUGCUGGCUGUAACCAUGCCGCAGUUGAUAGUGUCUCAAAAUUGUGGUUGUGCUCCCAACUUGUGCUGUAGUCAGUUUGGCUUCUGCGGCACCGGUGAUGCUUAUUGUGGCCAAGGAUGCCGGGAGGGACCUUGUACCUCAGCACCUAGUACCCCUAGCACGCCUAGUAACAAUGAUGUUACGGUGGCUGAUGUUGUUACACCGGAAUUCUUCAACGGUAUAAUCAAUCAAGCCGGGGGAGAUUGUGCCGGGAAGAGCUUCUACACACGAGAUGCGUUUCUCAGUGCCCUCAAUUCUUAUUCUCAGUUUGGCAAGAUUGGAUCAAAUGACGAUUCCAAACGUGAGAUUGCAGCAUUUUUUGCUCACGUCACGCAUGAGACCGGACGUAAGAUCUCUUAAAUCUCAUCUAUAUAUAUAUAUGUAUAUUGUCACACAUCACACCUUCAGUAAACAACAUAAUAAUAAUAAUAAUAAUCAUAUAGCAGUUAAAAACUUUAUUAACAUGCAUACAAACUUGGAAAUGCUAUAGUUGCUAGAGAAUGAUCGUUAUGAUAUGAACACAAGCAUAACCAUACAUCUCAAAGUUAACAAAUGGAUGUGUUUUGCUUGGUUUACAGACUUCUGCUACAUAGAAGAAAUAAACGGUGCCUCUCAGGACUACUGUGAUGAGACCAAUACACAGUAUCCAUGCAACCCGAACAAGAAAUACUUUGGCCGUGGACCUCUUCAACUAACAUGGAAUUACAAUUACGGGGCGGCUGGAGGGGCAAACAACUUUGAUGGACUAAACUCUCCUGAAACUGUGGCCAAUGAUCCUGUUGUGUCGUUCAAGACUGCCUUAUGGUUUUGGAUGACUAAUGUCCGCCCUGUGGUCACUCAAGGGUUUGGUGCGACGAUUAGAGCCAUUAAUGGUGCAGUUGAAUGUAAUGGUGGAAAUUCUGGUGCUGUUCAAGCUCGAAUUGGGUAUUACACAGAUUAUUGUAACCAGUUUGGCGUUGCACCUGGCGAUAAUCUAAGCUGUUAGGUUACAUUAUGCAUAUUAUAGUAUAGCAAUGAAAUGAAAUGGAAUCUACCUUCUGCCAUUUCUCGAAUGUAAGGUGGGAUACCCAGUGGUGUUCUGUAACUCUCGAUCGAGUUCGAUGUAUUUCUUGGAAUGGAUUUUAUAGAUAAAUAAAUGAAAUAAAGGCAUCACAUAAUUGAUUUUGCUUAUAAUGUAUUUGCUGGCUUAAUCGUUGUUAUGUUCAUUGCAAUUGCAAGUUUCUUGUUUAGGUUUUUUUUAUAUAUAUAUAAUCCUUAAUCACUAAUGAAAGUUUUGUUCUUGGGCAGAACCUCCUCAACCAUAAUUAAUUCCCCUAUGCCAUAAUCAUGUUUUGCGUUUUGAUCUCUAGCCAUAGUUGUUCAGAAACAUUAAAAAAAAAAAAAAAAAAAACAGGAACAAUAGGAUAUGAUACCAACUAGCACAAUUUAAACUAAUUAGACUGGCAAUAAAAAAAAACAUGGGAAGAUACAAUUCACCAAAAGGGCCAAACAAGAACCCUAGCUACAUUGUUAUUUUCAGAAUAAUAUUCUUCCACCGAAAUCUACCUCAUAAAAAUAUUUGCAAUAACUUAAAUAGUUCUAUCUUUAACCUCAAUCAAAAUGAAAAAAAUAAUCCUACAUAGACAGAAAAAUAAAAGGCUAAAAUUCAAAAUAAAUAAAAAUUAAAACUAAAAAAAUAACAUUUUUAAAAUUUAAUUUGAAAAUCUUUCUAACCUCAACAGAUGACAACGAGACGAUAUUCCACUAUAGAAUAUGCCUGCAGAAUCUUUUAAUGAAAUUUAAACAUGAUUUAAUAAUUAAAUAAAAAAUUAUGUUUAUUUUCUUGAAACAUAUUGUUUGGAGGGACUAAACUUUUUCUUAAAUUUGGAUUUUUUAUUCGAUCCAUAUAUAUAUAUCUAUUAGAUUUUUUAUAUACUCUAGUUACAACAAAUUUAUAUCUGAUUAUGAUUAUUAUUCUUGUAGAUUAAUAUUAGCAAUAACGAACAAUAUUGGUAUGGGAAAUUAAAUUCCUUAUAAUUACCUUACCCAACUCUCAAGCCCUAGAUGUACAUAGUGUGGUAAAGGAUUUAAAAGAUAUGGUAUUAGUGUAUGGGAAAGAAAUUAAAAUAAAUUGAGAACUUGGCUCUGCCUCGGUGCUCAGUACCAUUUGAUUUCUAACAUCUAUGCUUCUAGAAAUUUUGAACUCAUAGUUUGUCCAAAGUUUUUUUUAGCAGCCUUCGUUAAUGAUCUAUAUGAAACGAACAAUCAAGUCAUUGAGAAGCCUACAACACUUAUGGCACGUUGAGUGGAAGAAAUUCUCAAAGCCUACAACACUUAUGGCACGUUGAGUGGAAGAAAUUCUCAAAGCCUACAACACUUAUGAAAUUUUAAUUAUUACAUAGGAAAACCCACGCCCAAAGUUUAAAACACGUUAUUCAAUGAACUGUAAUAUAAAUGGAUAUUUGCAAACAACAUUCUCUCUAUUAGUUUCUAACAUACCAAAGAAAAUUUACGAAGCCAACAUUAUCGAUCGCAUAAUCCAUUAUCUGUAGGGGUCUCGAUACUAGAGGGAUUUGAUCCCAAAUCACACAAGCCUAGUAACUUUACUAAUCAGCUCUCUUUUUAGGUUUCUUCCGAGUUUUUUAUUAGUAAUUCUUCUCCAAUUUGUCGUCUCAAGCUGGUUUUUACUGUCUAUUUGCUAAUGAAGUCAAAGAAAAGAACAUGCAAUCCCCCCUAUUUAUAGGUUAUGGAAGAAGGUAAUAUUUUCUUCACCCGGGAAAAUUUUCAAUCCUUAAUUCAGAUGGAAAUGAUCACAACCGUUGACUUAAAAUAAGCAUGAACUGUAUAAAUUUACAGUUAGUGGCUGCUUGAGCUGGCCUCUUUAGGUUGGCACCGGACCUCUAUGGUGUUAAUCAACCUAAACAGACCAUACCAGGGUGUAAAAGGAUGUCAGGUGAUCAUUUACAUGCAAGUUUUGUGAAGGUUAGAUGCAUUAAAUGCACCUAUGAAGUUGUUUUCUAAGCUAUCAUUUCAGUGAAAAUUAAAGAAGAAGAUGAACAAUAACCAAAACAGCGCCAUUUUGGUAACAUUCACUUUAGCCAUUUGAUUUCUAAUUUGUCUCAAUUACACCCUUGAUUGACUUCAAAUUUUUAAUUUUAUGUAAUCUCAUCCCUAGAAAAACCUCAAUGUCAGCCUCGGAUAUCGCAAUGACGACGAUUAAAAAUAAUCUAAGAAAAGAAAAGAUAUCUAACAUCUUAAUCUUUGAAAAAAAAGGUCUAGUUUAAGGAGUCACCACCUAGUAUUACAAUCAGUACCAACCCUAAUUGAUCAACACAAAUUAUAUGGUACGGGACUGGUUACAUGAAAUGAAAUAUACUAUCACCCCUUAAGCGUCUUACUUAAAGCAAGCUACAUUGUUGGUUUUGUCUUAAAUUGCUAAGAGUUUGUCUUUGUUCCAUUUUUAAGGUCAUCCUAUAAUAUUCUCAACUCUGACAUCAAUAAUUAUUCACUGAUGAAUAUUUUCAACUCUAGCGUUGGUAAAUAUUGCGCAAUUCACAAAUUACAGUAUUUCUGACUAUAACGUCAGUGAAUAAGUCUGUAAAUUUCAAAUUCUAAAAAAGCAAGAAACAAAUUUUUUAUUUUUUUCUGGUCGGAUCUAGGUUGGUCGUACAGGCUGGGCUUGAUCCAGCUAGCCCGAGCUUGGUCACUGAAAUGCAACAAGCAUAUCUAAAUUAUAAUUCAUGUAUGGGUGUAUAGCAAGAAUGUAAUUAAAAUGGCAACGGUGAAGGGCCAAGAAUAAAAUUAAAAAUCAAAAAAAUAAAAAUCAAAUUUAAAGUAUCAAUAACUAAAAUGACAAUAUUGAAAUUCUAAAUGGCUAGUGCGAUUUUUGAGAGGAAAAGAGAGAGAAAAGAGUGGGGAAAAAGCCUCACCAACAACAAUUCAUCAUACCACCAUCACCACGUGCCACCCCACCAAAAAUAAUAAGCUGCAAAGAUUUCAACAACAUAAUGAAAGAGCUUUUUAACCACUGUGACGCAUUGUGUGUUCUGACAAAGAUUGUGGGCGCCUCCCACACGUUGGAGCAUAAGUUGUAUAAAUCAUCAACUUUUCUAUUUUAAUAUUAUUUUAUUUUUAUUAAAAGAUUAAAUUACCAUCAACCAAUUUAAUAAUAACAAAUAAAAAAACAUAGUAAAAAAACAUAAAAGUUCCUAUAUGCAAGCUUUAGAAAUUUUGCAAGUCUUUUUAUUGUUCCUAAAAUAGUGAAUUGAUGUGAAAGCCCUUCAAAGUUAGUUUCAAUAAUUUUGCUUUGAAGAGUAAAUUAAUAAUUUCAUUUUUAUUAUUAAUAAUUUCAUUUUUAUUAAAAAAAUAAAAAAGACAACCGCUCAAUAUAAUAAUUAAUAAUAAAUCAUGUACGAAAAGAAAAAACAAUCCCCAAUGUAAAAGCCAUUGGUUUUUUUGAGAAGGGUAAAUAGAUAACUAUACUGUAGCUUGGUAAAAUAUUUCUAUGCCAUAGUAUUUUCACCUUUUUGUUUUAGCUUUAUCAUUUUUUUUGUUAUAUUGCUAGACAUCUUUUAACCGCAGCUAAUAGUAUUCACAGCAACAAAUAUAACUAAAAGCAACCAAGUAAUCACUACAUAGAUCCUUAAUGUGUUAUUAAAUAUUAUAAGAGAUUUAAAUAAAAUAUAUAUGUGUAUAUAUAUAUAUAUAUAAAAAAAAGGUUCAUACACAAAAUUUAUAUGGUUUAAGGGCCACACUUUCUAAAAAAAUUAAUUUUUUUCUUCAAAUUAAAUAUUACUAUUUGAGAGUAAUUGAGUUUAUCUACUGAAUUUAUCAUCCAAUCUGUUUGCAACGCGAAGCCCCAUGUAUCUCAAGCCCGUCAUACUAUAUUCCAAAUGAAGGCCCAAAAACGAUGGGCCAUUAUGACGACAGCUGUUCAGCACUUCAUUUAGGCCCCCGUCUUUCAAAUGAAAUGCAAUUACAAUUUCAGGAUGUGUUAGCAACAAUUCCACGACGUCGCAUCCAAUGUUUCUCAGAGGCAUGAAAGCACAAGGCUAAGCUUCUCUCUUCAAGUGGAAGUCUAGCAUGUUGAAGAUGAAUGUGAGGUGGAAUCCCAAGGCUCAUUGGACUCUGGAAUCAGACAAGGGAAUCUUCGUUGUUUAACAUCUUCAAAUUCUGUUGUUGAGGCAGAGGUGCAGGGAACGUUGAAAACUGGGCAGGCAUUGGGCUUUGGAAUGUUGAGGACUUGUAACAUCCAUUAGAGGCCAGGUGGACAGAGAGCUGGAAGAUUGGAAUGACGACCAAUAAUGCCAUUUUGCAGCUCGACAGUGGAUAUGUAUUACCUUCUUUCUUAAUGAAGAUCUUAUUCUGGAAUAGUUGUGGAUUGGGUAUGUCUGUUAAGGGGGUAUCGAUUAGGAAUACUGUUCUGCAUAAUGACAUUGAGGCGUGUUUCCUGCCAGGAACUAAGAGGGCAAUGUGCUGUGACAAUUUUGUUCAUGCAUUAUAGAAUAACUUAUCAGUCAAAUGGUUUACACUUAAUUCAGUUGAUUAUAUUAGGGUGGAGGUAUUUUGGCUACUUGGGAUGAAAGUAAUUUCAUGGUUCAUUUAGCCGGAUAUCAAACUAGAAUUGACAUAAAAAUUAUGGUUAAGAUAUAAGGGUGUGUUUUGCCAAACACACCCUUAGUAAAUAUGGACUAGGCAGGUUGGAUUUGAAGCCCAAACCUGGCCAACAUUUUCUUUUUUUUUUAUUGGGUAAGAUCUAGCCUAACCAUCCGAGUUGGGCUCGACCCAGCUGGUCAACAUGGUUAUUGGCCUAAGCCAGUAACCUAGUUUGUGCAAUAUUUAAUUUUUUAUAGGCAGAAUAACAAAAAGAAAAAUGGCUUUAAAAAUUUCUUCUUCAAAUUCAAUUUUUUACCUGGUUUACAAUCCAUGUGAAUUAAAAUGAGAGCUGAGGAAGAAAGAAGACUUACCUAGCUUGCAAAAGCAUUGCCCGAGAUUGCAAGCGCUGGUCGAAGCUCUUGUCUUCAAGUUUUCUCCUAUUCCUUGUUCAUUUUAUUUUUUUUCAGCUUCUCUCGUUAUAUCUCUCUUGUCUCUCUCUCUCUUUUUCUUUUUUUUUUUUGUCUUUCCUUCUCUCUUUUUUUCUCCACUACCCACUCUCCUUUUUCUUUCUUUUUUUGUUACACCAUGGUGUGGCUUUUCACUAGCCUUUUAUAAGGCCAGAACAAAUGGUUGUUCCCCAGUACGUCUCUUUUUUCCUGGGAGGAGGAUAAGUCUUAGGGUGUUAGUCUUUUGCUGGGACUUGGAUGCGAGAUUCGAUCCUUAUCAUCCUAGGAUUGUGACCUUCAUGAAGAUAGGGAUUAAUCCUUGUGUUUUGGUAGACCUAGGAUGUUGGCAUUUCAAUUUAUUUCCCUUCUUUGCAAGCGAAUUUGUAGUGUUAGAGGAAGAAGAAGAAGAAUUGUGCAUGGUUGAAACGGCGUCGUUUUGGAUUGGGAAUGAACAUUUUCAAUUUGAUCCUUAAAGUUUUGAAAUUUCCUAAUAUGGCCCCUAAAGUUCAACACCUUUUACAAAAUGGUCCCUAAUUUCUAAUUUCUUGCAAUUUUGACCCAAAUCAACCCUGAAUUAUAAUAUUUCUUCAAUUAGGCCUUGACUCCAUUAAUUAAACUAGCUCUAAGCUUAAUUAAGUCCCCAAAUUUAUCAAUUCUAUGAUUAAGCUCGUAAUUUCAUUAAUUAAAUUAAUUUAAAGUUUAAUUAAGUCUCCAAACUUAUCAAUUUUUCCAAAUUCUAGCAAAGUCAAACCCUAAAUUUAUAAUUUCACCCUGACUAGAUCCUCAAGACUUUCAAUUUGUAUUGUCUUCACCCAAAUCUCAAUUUUUUCUCCAUUCAUUUCAUUUUUUCGAUGAAUUUAUGUUGUCAAAAAUUAAGUUACGACAACUGUAUCCAAUAAAUUAAAAGUCAUCAUGCCUGAUAUUAGUAGUGUUAAUCAAACAACUUUUUUCAUCUCUAGUAGGCAAAUUUUAGAUGGUUUCGUGAUGGCUAAUAAAAGUGUACAUAGUAUCAAGAAAAGUGGGAAACAUAGUUUUGUUAUGAAAGUGGACUUCCAUAAGACUUUUAAUUCUGUUGUUUAAGAGUACCUAGAGGAAGUGAUGUUAUAUGUGAGUUUUUGAAGGAGGCGGAUUUCUCUAAUACAUAAAUGCAUUACGGGAUCUAAAUUAGCUAUUCUUAUUAAAGGUUCACCAAUCAUGAAGUUUAGAGUAGAACGAGAACUACGUCAAGGCAAGAAUAACUAUCGCCUUUUUUUUUUUACAUAGAUGUGGAAGGGUUAUUAGUUAUGUUUAUGAGAGCUUCCACUUCCGGAUUAUUUAAAGGAAUCCAUUGUGAAAAUGAGAUAUAUAUGAGUCAUUUGAAAUAUACAAAUGAUACCUUAUUAUUUAUUCCUAAUUAUUUCACUUUGAUAACUAAUGCUAAAAGGAUUUUGAGGUGGUUUGAAUUGACUUUAGGUCUAAAAUUUAACUUUCAUAAAAGUUCACUAGUUGACAUCAACCUAGAUGAUGAAUUUAUGAUAGGAAUAACAAAUGUGAUAUAUUGCAAAUGGGACACACUACUUGUCCGAUACUUAAGCCAGAUCUUUGGGGGCAAACCCGAAAAGACUCUUCACUUGGAAGCCUAUCAUAAAUAGCAUCCAGACAAGACUGGUUCAUGAAAAGAAUGUUUAUUGAGCAUGACAAGAAGUGUCUAAUUAAAUUUGUGUUGUCCUCCCUUUCCUUGUAUGUACAUGUCCAUCUUUCUUAUGCCAAAGGGAGUUGUUAGGGUUAUUAAUUUGAUCAAGAGGAGGUUCUUGUGUAGUGGGGAUUUUGGUGCAAGGAAAAUAUAUAAAGUUGCUUUGUAGGUGGUUGUAAGGGGGAAAAUAGAGGGGGUUUGGGCAUUGGCUCAUUGGAAGGCAAGAACAAGGCAUUGCUAUUUAAAUGACUCUUGAGGCUAGGGGAAAGCAAUUUGAGAGGUUGGUAAGAGCAUAUCUACAAAAGAUAUCAGGCUACUAUUAUUAAUGGCCUCUCACUUCUUAAAUAAUCUUUUUCUGAAACAUGGCACUCUAUCUAUUUUGUUAUCAGCACGGACUCUAAAAUAGAAGUGACUUUGAAGAACAAUUGAUGGUUUUAGAUUGGCAAUGAAAGCAACAUUCACUUCUAAACAGACAAGCGGCUAGCUGGUAGGCUGUUAAAAGAUUUUUAUUUGUGCCUUUUCUCCUUUAUCACAACACCUUCUCCUUGCUUGUAGAUAUGGGGGCAAUGCUGCGACUUGGUGGAAAUGGAGACUUCACUAAAAAGAUGCUUGUGGACAUUAGAAAAAGAGAAAUUAAGUAACAUGAAUCAAAUGUUCGUAAGGGUAAUAUUGCAGUCGAUUAGAGGUGAUAAAAAAAUAUGGGCAAGAGACAUAAUCGAGGCCUAUAUGUCAAUUCUGACAGUGAUUUAAUAGAUAACAUUCUAUUUCUAGGAAACUUCAUAUUCACUUCACUUUUAUGGAAAUGAUCUACCCACCAAAUGUAGAAAUGUUUAUAUGGAUAUUGUUCCAAAGCAUAAUAUGUACAAGAGCCUUUCUACCACACUGUCAUUUAGGACAACCCAGUCAAGCUAUAUAUCCCUUUUAUGAACAUGAAAAAGAGAAUGCUCCUCAUCUUUUCCUUCAUUGCUACCACAUGUGGAGAUUAUGACAAUGAUUUUUGAGUUGGUCUGAUGCCUCUGGUGUAUGCCAAAUACAAUAGAUCAAGUGAUCUGGCAAUGGAGCAACAUGGUCGAAGGUAAGUUCUAGUAAAAUGCAUUUACAAUGUUAUCAUAUGGAAUUUUGUAGGGGUAUUUAGACUGCAAGAAACAAGCUGAUCUUCAAAGAUAAAAAGCUUGAUUGGAAUACAUUGUUUCAACUCAUACUCUAUUGACUUACACUUUGGUUAAAGGUCUGGAAUAAUAAUUUUUCAUACACAAAAAAUGAUUUGAUUAGAGAUCUUGGAGGCAUUUUAACAUGUUCUAAUAAGUGAUGAGUAAUUGGUUGUAGGAGCUUGUUAUUAGCAUCUCCUUUGUAACUUCCUUUUAUGUUUUUAUCUACGAUUUCAUGUUCAUCAUAGUCUUAAUGGUAUACUGGUUUUAUCAAUAAAUAACUCGAUUGAGUUGGUGUAGUUCCUUUCCCUUUGGCUAUAGGUUUUUAAGUUUCUUUAGUUUGGUAAUUCAUCAAACGCAAAUUAAGCUCUUACAAAUAGGAAAUGUAUGGUUGGAAAAAAGUUAGGAAGUGAUAAUUAUCAGCACAUACCAAGCCAAAUAAGACUAUCUGAUGUAACUUGAACAGUUUAGUUUAAUUAGUCAGAAUUUGUUCUCUAAAUAUUACCAUUUCAAGUUUCACAAAUUUAAUGGUCACUAGAUACUUAUAUAAUCGUUAACUUCAGAGUCUCAAAGGAUUAAUCGAGGUGCGCUCGAACACUCACAAUUAAAAAAAAAAAAAAAAAGAUUAUCUGAUGUAGAAAUAGACACAUGCUACUAAAUAGGAUUGUGUCUGAUGUAGUAAUAAAGUUUCUACCUUUUAUGGUAUAUAAAUGUCUGACCACUUCAAAAACAUGUCACGUAAGGACAUUAAUGUCAUUAUCCUAGAUAUUUUUGCUAAACUUUAUAGACUAAAUUAUAAUCAACACAUAUAUAUUUUACACGUAAAAUUAUAGACCUCGUCCACCUUGUGCCUCUAUAAAUAGCUUAACAUCGACCUUAUCACCACACAUCACAAGAAAUUCCUUUCUCUCUUUGCAUAACAAUAUCAAAACUCCCUUCAGGAGUAGCGAAAAUGAGAAGCAAUAUUCUACUUACCAUUAUCUUAGCCAUAGUUCUUGCAGGAGCCCUGCACAAGAAUGUGGUAGAGGCUCAGAAUUGUGGCUGUGCUGCAAACCUUUGUUGCAGUCAAUAUGGCUACUGUGGCACUGGCAAUGCCUAUUGUGGUCAGGGAUGUAAACAAGGGCCCUGUACUUCAUCACCUACGCCUACUACCCCUAGUGGGAGUGGUUCUGUUGCUGAUAUUGUUACGCCUGCUUUCUUCAAUGGUAUAAUCAACCAAGCUGCUGCAAGCUGUGCUGGG